UGGGCAUUUCCUCCAUAUUUCCUGAUAACCCCCUACAGAAAUAGACAAACACCAAAACUCAUGGAAUUCUGUCAGAUAAAACCCUAAGUCUAGGUGUCGGUUGCAUUUGGAUCCUUUUCCAUGAUUAGUUGACGGUUAAAUGUGAGCAUUAAGGACCGUCAACAAGCUCCCCCAAGCUUAUCCUUUGCUCGUCCCUGAGCAAGGAUGGACUCAAGAGUUUCUGCAGUGGUUUCAUGCCUUAAAGGUACACAUGCGUUCAAACAAGAUCUCAUCUCUAGGUUAGGGUAAACUAUUAAGACAUAAACUUACUCAUUUUUCCUUCCACCAUGGGGCUUGCAACUGUCACUUGUGUCUUGAGCAGUGAAAAGAUAGAAUGAUCUAGUCAAGCGCCAUGUCUCAUGUUCUUCGAUUAACUAUAGCUCUGGAGUUUUUGUAGAUUUUCAAAUAAAACUUAGAGAUUCCUUGUAUGACUCUCUCUAGUAUCUCUUUUGUGUUAUUUCUGGAUCCUUACCAAUGCAGUAAUGGUGUAUGCCUUCUCUCAAAGUAUGUGGUAUUUUUGGUAUGAGGCAUAGUGGCAUUGCCUUCUCUCUCACCCUACUCUAAUAAGGUUUUGAUAUCUGGAGCUCAUAGGUGGGAGACAGCUAAUACAUACUUACAAGACAUUUAUUGCAUAGUCAAACCAUGGAUCCAGAAGAACAAGUCAAUAAGUUAAAUCAAGAUGUGCAUGUGUGGUGAAUGAAUGGUGAUAAUGGUGAAAGUCUAAUUCUACUUUUUCUCUUUUGAGGGGGUACAUACCUUCCUUGCACUUGAGGCUUUUGAGGGGAAUGAGAUGCUCUAUAUUUUUUUUCUCUCAGGUUGGUAUCUUGUACCCCUAAUUCUACUGUCGGACACUUGUCCAUUUUUACCUCUCGUCUCACUUUUUCUUCUUUUUUUUCGAGGUUUCGGGCACUUGUCCCUUUUUAUUUCCUCGUAUUCACUUUUUUUAGAGCACUCAUCCACCUGGAAUAAUGUAGCAAGUGGUAGUAACCAAAAUAUCUCAAGCAUUUAUUUCACGGGGAAUAACAGGGAUAGGAUAAUGUUUUUGGCUAUUCUCUCCUAGAUAGGAGUAGAAUAAUUUUGGGUGAAUCUGAAUAUGGAAAUGAGUGGAUGUAUGUGGAUGCGUACUUCCGGAGUAGAAGCAGCAUGUACGCAUGACAAGCUCCUAAGGGUCUACACAGUUUGACCACACUCAAUGCUCAUAAGCAGUAAAAAGUAAAUGUAUGGUUCAUAGUCUAAUAAGCAUGCAUAUAUGGCUGUGGUAGGAUUUUAAACUCUCAUCAUACAGGAACUCAUCAUGCAACAUUUUAAAGAUUUUCAAAGAUAAAAUUCUCCAGAAUUUUAGCAUCUCUAGGAACAGAUAAACAGCAGCUCAACCUUCCCAUAUCAUAUCUGUUAAUGACUUAGACUUUAGAUCAAGUACUCUUCCCACAAGUUCAGAUUUAGAGCAAAUCUUAAUUAAUAACAGUCGUGCCUAAACUUGAGAGAGAUUUCAAUUUUGAUAACUAGUCAUGGCAGAGCAACCAUUCAUCAUUUCCAUGUGAGAGCUUAUCAUGAGGGUUCAUAGCAAACUUUAUUUAUUUAUUUAUUUAUUUAGCAAACUAAGCAAAGAUAUAUAUAUAAGCACAAAAUCAUUAUUUGGGUUUUUAUGAUUAUUCAUCUUUUUAUUGUUUGAGUAAAGUAUAAACGUGAGUAGAACACUUAGCUAGAUAAAUGGGGGUGCUCUCCUCCAAGCUGGAUUUUGACGUAAUUUCUUCUGAUGUAGCUAGCAGGUGGUGGAGUUGUAUUUGAAUGUCGGCAGCACCCUGACAGCGAUUAGGAUGUCCUCCGUCUGCUAGUCUUUUUUGAUCCUUGAAUUCUGUGGAGCUCAAAUAGAAAACUAAGCUUUGUGGAACUCAUUAGGUGUUAGCAUAAAUAUCUAGCCUUUAUCAUGUUGAGCCUCCUCAAUAAAUGCUACUUUCUUUGGUGGGAUCACAAUUUAUUUUUAUAUUUUCAUUUUUAUAGGACAGGAAUAUAUUUAUUUUAUUUUUAUGCCACCACAGUGAAUGUACUUAUGGGUUUUAUGCCAUGAGCAUACUCACAUGGAGCUUACUAUUUUUAACAUUUUUAUUUUCUUUUCAAGAUGAUAUGAACCUGAUUAACUAAGCAAACUGUUGACGGUCCUUAAUUAUCAAAUUUAAUUAUCAAAUAAAUAAAGAAAAGGAUCCAAAUGAAAUCAAGAUCUAGACUUAGGGUUUUAUCUGACAGAAUUCCACGAGUUUUGGUGUUUGUCUAUUUCUGCAGGGGGUUAUCAGGAAAUAUGGAAGAAAGGCCCACAUGUCGGGAUUACGUAAAGAUAUUAACGUGCUGCACAAUUAUCUUACAUCUAGAAGACUCCAGAAGCCACGAGACCGAAGCGGAUCAGGACUCUGCUUUGCGGGAGAUCUCCACCGACCUAAAGGAUGAAUCUAAACCAUACAAUCUAUGUCAGUUUGAUCCAAUGGCCCAUAUUCACUUGAAGGGACUAUAAAACCAGACCCCCUGGCCCCUGGAGGAAAAAGCCUCUCAACCCUAAUUCAUUGUUCCAUCAAGGGAGAAGAAGCCUCUGAUCAAGAUUAGAGCCACCACAUCAAUUAGACAUCUAGAUUAGCAUAGCUACAUAGGAUUAGAACUAGAAGGAGUCAAUCUUCGAUUGGUUUCCGGAUCUGUCAGGAGGAUUCUUGGUAAUUCUCUAAUUGUGCUUCUAAUUGCUUUCUAAUUAUCUCUGUUCUUCAAUAUUAUGAAUAUGACUUUGUUCUACUUCAAUAUAUUGCUUAUGACUUUGCUCUACUUGCUUAUAUUCAAGAUUAUAUUGUUCUUAGUUUAUCAUAGUUAUGUACUUAGCUUAGUUAGAUUGGAUCUAUAUACAUGCUUAGGAUCGUAUAGCGUUUAUCCAUCGGAUCCAUGGGUAAAUGAUAGAUAUUGUGUAGGCGUGGUGCUUAUACCGUAUUUAUCUGCGAUUGUACCCAAUAUGCCAGAUCGUGGGGUGGUUCGUGAUAGUGACAGCUUCAUUGAUUCUUAUAUAGUCCCCCUCUCGUGUAUUGGGCUGGCAGAGCAACAUUAUUACAGGGGUGUGAUUGCUAUGUUUCCCAUAUUCCUUGCUAAUAUCACUAUGCAUGGGCGUAUCUCACAAUGAUUGCUAAGUAUGCUUGCACUAACUAUGAUAUGCUAGACUAUAUAGUUAAGAAUAACUUAGGGAAUAUUCUUGUAGUUCGUUCUAAUACCAUGCUAAUGACUUUCUAGAGUAUCUAAUUGAGGUGCUUAUCAUAUUUAUUAUGUGGCUAGAUCAGAUUAGUUAUCCUUGUCACUAUUAUUAUUUCAUAUAUCUUUUAUGUGACACUUAUCCCUGUAUGAAGAGUUAGAUAUAAUGUUCUCAAUUAUACAUGCAAUGAUAGAUGCUCAAUCUCAUAUUCUAUUCUGUAAUCAAUAGUGAUGAUCGCUAAUCCCUUCCCAGUGGUAAAAAUAUAAAUAACGAUACCUGGAAUACUUCCCGGUUAAAAUGCUGCAUCGGUAUUAAUCUGUGCGCUUGCAGAUCCCAUUCAUUAUUUAUUUAGAAGAGCAAUUGCAUAUUUCAAUACCGCGUCUCUUAUAUCAUGCUGGGGAUGACAACUUGGCUUAAGUGGUGUGAGGGAUAGGUUUGACAUUUUUGGCACCGUUACUAGAUUUAGAGAACUUAGUCUACUUUUGGUAAUGAUGUUAAGAAUACCCAACAAGCAUUUUUGGCGCCGUUGCCGGGGAAGGUUGAUUACCAAUCAGGAAUGGAAUAAAAGAUUUUGAGUUAUCAUUCGCAUCACUAAUAUGAUUGAGCUUAUCUAUUCUCUCAUAUAGUUUUACCCCGAUAUUUUUCUAUUUUAUCUUAUGCAGGGGAAUGUAUGAAUAGAAGACAUCUUCCAGGAAAUUUUGUUGACAAUCCCGAAGCAUUAUUCAAGAAGACGAGGGCCAAGCUCAAGAAGAGAUCAUCAACACUUCACGAAGAAGCUUCAUCCAAUCAAGAAGAUCACCGGAACUUGUCUUCAGAGUUCGAAGCCAUGGCGAACAAAUCGAUCCGCGAGUUCUCAGCUCCCACUACGGACAACAUCCGCACUGGACCUGCUACAGAGAUCGAUGGCAACUUUGAGCUCAAGCCUGGACUUAUCAACAUGGUGCAAUCCAACCAGUUCUGUGGGAAGGCACAUGAAGAUGCUAGUGCUCAUUUACAACAUUUCCUGGAGAUUUGCAACACAUUCACCAUAGCAGGAGUUUCCAAAGACGCUAUACUACUUCGCCUCUUCCCAUUCUCACUGUUAGGAAGAGCGAAGCAGUGGUUCUACGCUACAAAGGAGAAGAAUACUACGUGGGCACUCUGCUCAACAAACUUCCUGGCUAAGUUCUUUCCCAUGGGCAAGACCAAUGCUCUCCGUGGGAAGAUUACAAGUUUUCAGCAACAAAAUGAUGAAUCUGUUCCAGAAGCAUGGGAGCGCUUUCAAGACUACAUCCUAGAAUGUCCCCAUCAUGGAAUGGAGAGUUGGCUAUUGAUGCAGACAUUCUAUCAUGGGCUCAGCAACAGUGCCCGAGAGACUAUGGAUGCUGUAGCUGGAGGAGCGUUCUUAUCACUUACUAUACCACAAGCCACAGCUCUUGUGGAGAAGAUGGCGUCCAACCAAAGCUGGAAUGAAGAGAGGACCCAGACACGCAAGAGAGGUGGAGGUAUGCAUCAGCUGAAGGAGGUAGACAUGCUGUCUGCAAAGCUAGACCUGCUCAUGAAGAAGCUCGAUGAUAGAGCUGGAGACAAGAAAGAAGUUAUGCACAUCUACGACUCUCACAUGACUUGUGAGGAGUGUGGAGACACUGGACACUCAGGCAACCACUGCCCUAAGAUGCUUGAGGAUGUGAACUACAUCAACAACAACAACUACUACUACAACCGUCCUCAACAAAAUCAAGGUUGGAAUCAACAGAGGCCGAACUACUCAGGUAAUUAUCAAGGUAACAAUUCUUACAACAACAAUAGUAAUUUUCCACCUUUGAGAGAGUUAGUGUCUAAUCAAGGAAAGCUAAUGGAUAAUCUAUCUAAGAAAUUGGCAUCUAAUGAUAAAAUGCUAGAAAAUAUAAAUAAUAGAAUGGAUAAUUUUUCUACUGCCAUCAAGAAUCAAAUUAGCUUUAAUAAAAUGAUUGAAUCUCAGUUAAAUCAAAUAGCUGCUGCUGUUCCUACUACUAACCCCGGUAUACCAUCACAAGGGGAAGGAUUAGAAUCUGCAAAUCUUGUAGACGUGUUUGAUGCAGGUAAUUGGAGUAACCCUAUCACUGAAUUUUCUACUGACCGUCUGCCGGUCAAGAGAGGCGAUCUAGGACGCCCCGUCAUCCCGAUCUCCAUCGGCAUGGAGGACUUCCCAGAAGCACUCUGUGACUUUGGCUCUAGCGUCAACAUUAUACCCAGGGUACUCUAUGAAAAAUUCUUUACAUAUCCUUUACUAGAAACAACCAUGUGUUUGCAGUUUGCAGAUCAGACGAUAACUUUUCCAAAAGGAAUAGUGAGAAACCUUUGUGUCCGAGUUGGUACCUUGUAUGCCCCAGCAGACUUCGUAGUGGUAGAGACCGGAAAUGAUGAGAGAGCACCUAUCAUCCUAGGAAGGCCAUUCUUGAACACCACGGGAGCUAUCAUCUACGCUAGUGCUGCCAAGAUCAGUUUCUACGUCAAAGGGAAGAAGGAGACAUUUUUCUUCAAGAACAAGACUACACAAAUUCAAGAUCAAUCCAGACGUAAAUCAAGGAAGAGGACCAACAGGAGAAACAGGAACAAGCAAGUGUGGACCGAGUCAGCUAAGAUGGUCACUGUAGUUCAUGGAGGCCAAGAUCACCAACUUAAGUCACCGCUUUUGACCAAGAAAGAUGACCCAGGAAUGCCAAGCAUUUACUGCUCCAUAAAUGGAUACAACUUCUACAAGACAUUUUGUGACACCGGAUCGGGAGUCAACAUAAUGGCCGCAGUCACCUAUCGGCUCUUGUUCGGGACCAUGCCACUAAGACCAACAUACAUUCAGCUCCAGAUGGCAGAUCAGACAUUUCGAGAAGUUAAAGGAAUAGUAUCUGAUGUCCCAGUCAAAAUAGACGAUCACUUUGUCUACACAGACUUUCAAGUUGUUGACAUGGGAGAAGACGAGUAUGAUCCACUCAUCAUCCUUGGAAGACCGUUCCUCAGCACCGUUAAAGCAAUUAUCUACAUUGGAACCAGAGAAGUCCAUAUGCACUUCUCCUCAGAGAAGGUACGCCGUUAUUUUACUGACCCUAACUAUAUCAUUGAAGAAUCUAAGCAGGUAAGAAAACGACGCAACCGCAACCAGAGGAGGCAGAUCAUCAAGGACAGAUGGGCAGACUACGAAGGAGAAGUGAUAAGAUCAGAAGACGUUGAGUUUAAACAGAAUUAUCCAGAGGAGAUUGAAGCACCAAGUCAGGUAUGGAAAAUGAAGAUAACUAUACAAGAAGAGGAGGCACUGCCGGAAGUACCGACUACGCCACCCAACGAACCUCAGGACGAUUAAGAAAAUGGAGAGUCCCGUUCGGAGGACUUAAAAACACCGAACGCCUUGCCAAGAGGUAAACUUGGUAGUUAUCCUUUCCCUUUCAAUUAUUUCAAAGAGUUUACUUAGUUAAUCAUGUUCAUACUAUCUUAAAAAGAAAAUAAAAAUGUGAAAAAAACUGUAAGCCCCAUGUGAGUAGACGAGUGGCAUAAAACCCAUAAGUACAUUCACUGUGGUGGCAUAAAAAUAAAAUAAUUAUUUUUCUGCUCUAUAAAAACAAAAAUAUAAAAACAGGGAGUAAUAUUUAUUAAGGAGUCUCAACAUGAUAAAGGCUAGAUAUUUAUGCUAACACUUAAUCAGUUCCACAAGCUUUGUUGUCUAUUUGAGCUCCACAGAAUUUAAGAAUCAAGAAGACUAGCAGACGGAGGACAUUCUAAUCGCUAUCAGAAUGCUGCUGACUUUCAAAUACACCUCUGCCACCUGCUAGCUACGUCAAGAGAAAUUACGUCAAAAUUCAGCUUGGGGGAGAGCACCCCCAUUUAUCUCGAUAAGUAUUUCUUUCUAUCUCUCUAUCUUUAUACUUAUAUUAUUUUAGAAUAUAAAUAUACAUAACUAUGGAAAACCAAAUAAAGAGUUUGUGCUUAUUUAUAUAUGUCUUUUGCUUAGUGUGUUUAAUAAAUAAAUAAAGUGGCUAUGCUAAUCUGUAUCUAAAUAAAACUUAAGCAUGGAUAUGAUAAAUAGUUGCUCUGCCUAAUUUGCGAAUUUUAAGUUCUCUCUCAAGUUUAGAUAUAACUGUUAUAAUUUAAAGCUUGCUCUAGACCUAAACUUGUGGGAUGAAAACUUGAUCUGAAGUCUAAGUUGUUAACGGAUACGAUAUGGGAAGGUUGAGCUGCUGUUUAUCUGUUCCUAGAGAUGCUAGAAUUCUGGAGAAUUUUAUCUUUGAAAAUCUUUAAAAUGUUGCAUGAUGAGUUCCUGUAUGAUGAGAGUUUAAAUUCCUACCACAGCCAUAUAUACAUGCUUGCUAGACUUUGAGCCACACAUUUACUAUUUACUGCUUAUGAGCAUUGAGUGUGGUCAAGCUGUGUAGACCCUUAGGAGCUUGUCAUGUGGUUAAAUCAAGAUUUCACUUGCACGUUCACUCAUAUAUGCUACUUCUACUCCGGAAGUACCAUCCACAUAUAUCCACCCAUUCCAUCUCCAGAAUCACCCAAAAAUAUUCUACUCCUAAUCCGGGAGAGAAUAACCAAAAAUAUUUCUGUUUUUUCCUUGUGAAAUAAAUGCUCAAGUUAUCUUGUUACUACCACUUGCUAUAUUAUCUCAAGAGAUGAAUGCUCUGAAAAAAAAGAGAUACGAGGAAAUAAAAAGGAGCAAGUGCUCGGAACCUCGAAAGAAAAGAAAAAGUGAGACGAGAGGUAAAAAUGGACAAGUGUCCGACAGUAGAAUUAGAGGUACAAGAUACCCACCUGAGAGACAAGAAAAAGAUAGAGCAUCUCAUUCUCAUCAUAAAGUUUCAAAAGCAAGGAAGUUAUGUAUCCCCUCAAAGAGCAAAGUAGAAUUAGACUUCCACCACCAUUGUUUUCACCAUUGUUAUCACCAUCAUCACCAUACACCAUUCAUUCGCCACACAUGCAUAUUUUGAUUUGGCUUAUUGAUUUGUUUCUUUGGAUCCAUGGUUUGACUAUGCAAUAAAUGUCUUAUAAGUAUGUAUACUUUAUCUCCCACCUAUGAACUCCAGAUAUUAAAGCAUUAUUAGAGUAGGGUGAGAGAGAAGGCAAUGUCACUAUGCCUCAUACCACAAAUACUACAUAUAUUGAGAGAAGGCAUAUACCAUCACUGCCUUGGUAAGGAUCCAAAAAUACCACAAAAGAGAGACCUGAGAGAAUCAUACAAGGAAUUUCUGAGUUUUAUUUGAAAAUCUGCAAAAAAAACCCCAGAGCUAUAGCUGAUCAAGAAUAAGAGACAUGGCACUUGGCUAGACUGUUCUUUUUUUUAACCACUCAAGACAGAAGUGACAGUUACAAGUCCCAUGGUGAAGGUAAAGUAAGUAAGUUUUAAGUCUUGACAGUUUACUCUAACUCAGAGAUGAGAUCUUAUUUAAAAGCAUGUGUACCGUCAAAUUUUUAAAGAUAUUGCAACUACUUAUGAUCCAUAGCUGAGUCUAUCCUUGCUCAGGGACGAGCAAGAGGUAAGCUUGGGGGAGUUUGUUGACGGUCCUUAAGUAUCAAAUUUAAUUAUCAAAUAAAUAAAGAAAAGGAUCCAAAUGAAAUCAAGAUCUAGACUUAGGGUUUUAUCUGACAGAAUUCCACGAGUUUUGGUGUUUGUCUAUUUCUGCAGGGGGUUAUCAGGAAAUAUGGAAGAAAGGCCCACAUGUCGGGAUUACGUAAAGAUAUUAACGUGCUGCACAAUUAUCUUACAUCUAGAAGACUCCAGAAGCCACGAGACCGAAGCGGAUCAGGACUCUGCUUUGCGGGAGAUCUCCACCGACCUAAAGGAUGAAUCUAAACCAUACAAUCUAUGUCGGUUUGAUCCAAUGGCCCAUAUUCACUUGAAGGGACUAUAAAACCAGACCCCCUGGCCCCUGGAGGAAAAAGCCUCUCAACCCUAAUUCAUUGUUCCAUCAAGGGAGAAGAAGCCUCUGAUCAAGAUUAGAGCCACCACAUCAAUUAGACAUCUAGAUUAGCAUAGCUACAUAGGAUUAGAACUAGAAGGAGUCAAUCUUCGAUUGGUUUCCGGAUCUGUCAGGAGGAUUCUUGGUAGUUCUCUAAUUGUGCUUCUAAUUGCUUUCUAAUUAUCUCUGUUCUUCAAUAUUAUGAAUAUGACUUUGUUCUACUUCAAUAUAUUGCUUAUGACUUUGCUCUACUUGCUUAUAUUCAAGAUUAUAUUGUUCUUAGUUUAUCAUAGUUAUGUACUUAGCUUAGUUAGAUUGGAUCUAUAUACAUGCUUAGGAUCGUAUAGCGUUUAUCCAUCGGAUCCAUGGGUAAAUGAUAGAUAUUGUGUAGGCGUGGUGCUUAUACCGUAUUUAUCUGCGAUUGUACCCAAUAUGCCAGAUCGUGGGGUGGUUCGUGAUAGUGACAGCUUCAUUGAUUCUUAUAUAGUCCCCCUCUCGUGUAUUGGGCUGGCAGAGCAACAUUAUUACAGGGGUGUGAUUGCUAUGUUUCUCAUAUUCCUUGCUAAUAUCACUAUGCAUGGGCGUAUCUCACAAUGAUUGCUAAGUAUGCUUGCACUAACUAUGAUAUGCUAGACUAUAUAGUUAAGAAUAACUUAGGGAAUAUUCUUGUAGUUCGUUCUAAUACCAUGCUAAUGACUUUCUAGAGUAUCUAAUUGAGGUGCUUAUCAUAUUUAUUAUGUGGCUAGAUCAGAUUAGUUAUCCUUGUCACUAUUAUUAUUUCAUAUAUCUUUUAUGUGAUACUUAUCCCUGUAUGAAGAGUUAGAUAUAAUGUUCUCAAUUAUACAUGCAAUGAUAGAUGCUCAAUCUCAUAUUCUAUUCUGUAAUCAAUAGUGAUGAUCGCUAAUCCCUUCCCAGUGGUAAAAAUAUAAAUAACGAUACCUGGAAUACUUCUUGGUUAAAAUGCUGCAUCGGUAUUAAUCUGUGCGCUUGCAGAUCCCAUUCAUUAUUUAUUUAGAAGAGCAAUUGCAUAUUUCAAUACCGCGUCUCUUAUAUCAUGCUGGGGAUGACAACUUGGCUUAAGUGGUGUGAGGGAUAGGUUUGGCAUUUUUGGCACCGUUACUAUAUUAAGAGAACUUAGUCUACUUUUGGUAAUGAUGUUAAGAAUACCCAACACAAACUAUUUUAAAUAAUUGAAAGGAAAAGGAUAACUACCAAGUUUACCUCUUGGCAAGGCGUUCGGUGUUUUGAUGUCCUCCGAAUGGGACUCUCCGUUUUCUCAGUCGUCCUGGGAUUCGCUGGAUGGCGUAGUCGGUGGUUCCGGUAGUGCCUCCUCUUUGUGUAUAUCUAUCUUCUCUCUCCACACCUGACUCGGUGCUACGGUCUCCUCAGGACAGUUCUGUUCAAGUUGUAUGUCUUCAGACCAUACCACUUCUCCUUCGUAGUCUGCUCAUCCGUCCUUGAUUAUUUGCCUCCUCUGGUUGCGGUUGCGUCGUCUUCUUCUUGUCCUGACCUACUUAGAGUCUUCAACUAUACAGUUAGGGUCAGUAAAAUAGCGACGUACCUUCUCAAAGGGGAAGUGCAUGUGGACUUCUCCGGUUCCAAUGUAGAUGAUUGCUUUAACGGUGCUGAGGAACGGUCUUCCAAGGAUGAUGGAUGGAUCGUACUCGUCUUCUCCCAUGUCAAUAACCUAAAAAUCUGUAUAGACAAAAUGAUUGUCUAUUUUGACAGGGACAUCAGUUACUAUACCUUCAACCGUUCGGAAUGUCUGAUCUGCCAUCUGGAGCUGAAUGUAUGUUGGUUUUAGGGGCAUAGUUCCGAACAGGAGCUGAUAGGUGACUGCGGCCAUUAUGUUGACGCCUGACCCAUUGUUGCAAAGCGUCUUCUGGAAGUUGUAUCCAUAAUGGAGCACUGGAUGCUUGGCAUACCUGGGUCGUCCUUUUUGGUCAGGAACGGUGACUUAAGUCAACGAUCUUGACCUCCCUGAACUGCAGUGACCAUCUUAGCUGACUCGGUCCACAUUUGCUUGUUCCUGUUCCUCCUGUUGGUCCUCUUCCUUGGUUCAUGUCAGGAUUGCUCUGAGAUUUGUGUAGUCUUGUUCUUGAAGGAAAACGUCUCCUUCCUCCCCUUGAUGUAGAAAUUGAUCUUGGCAGCACUAGCGGUAGAUGGCACCUCCCGAGGUGUUUAGGAAUGGCCUCCUUAGGAUGAUGGGUGCCCUCUCAUCAGUACCAGUCUCUAUCACCAUGAAGUCUGCUGGGGCGUACAAGGUACCAACUCGGACACAAAGGUUUCUCACUAUUCCCUUUGGGAAACUUAGUAUCCGAUCUGCAAGCUGCAAACACAUGGUUGUUUCUAGUAAAGGAUGUGAAAAGAAUUUUUCAUAGAGUACUCUGGGCAUAAUGUUGACGCUGGAGCCAAAGUCGCAGAGUGCUUCUAGGAAGUCCACCAUGCCGAUGGAGAUCGGGAUGACGCGGCGUCCUGGAUCGCCUCUCUUGACCGACAGAAGGUCAGUAAUUACUUCCAUAAUAGGGUUACUCCAUUAGUUACCUGCAUUAACCAUGUCUACAAGAUUUGCAGAUUCUAAUCCUUCUGGUUGUGAUGGUAUACCGGGGUUAGUAGCAGGAACAGCAGCAGCUAUUUGAUUUAACUGAGAUUCAAUAAUUUUAUUAAAGCUAAUUUGAUUCUUGAUGGCAGUAGAGAAAUUAUUCAUUCUAUUAUUUAUGUUUGCUAACAUUUUAUCAUUAGAUGCCAAUUUCUUAGAUAGGUUAUCCAUUAGCUUUCCUUGAUUAGACACUAACUCUCUUAAAGGUAGAAAAUUAUUAUUAUUAUUGUAAGAAUUAUUACCUUGAUAAUUACCUAAGUAGUUAGGCCUCUGUUGAUUCCAACCUUGAUUUUGUUGAGGACGGUUAUAGUAGUAAUAGUUGUUGUUGAUGUAGUUUACGUCCUCAAACAUCUCAGGGUAGUGAUUGCCUGAGUGUCCAGUAUCUCCAGUGUAUUUGUGCUCGUAGAUCCAGGUUCUUCACUUGGUGGAGACUGGGAGUUGUAAAACUCCUCUAUAUUUUGCUCGAAGUGUACUGUUGGGUAUUCUUAACAUCACUACCAAAAGUAGACAAUUCCUAAUUCUAGUAACGGUGCCAAAAAUGCCAAACCUAUCCCUCAUACCACUUAAGCCAAGUUGUCAUCCCCGGCAUGACAUGAGAGACGCGGUAUUGAAAUAUGCAAUUGCUCUUCUAAAUAAAUAAUGAAUAGGAUCUGCAAGCGGGAAGUAUUCCAGGUAUCAUUAUUUAUAUUUUUACCACUGGGAAGGGAUUAGUAACCAUCAAUAUUGAUUACAGAAUAGAAUAUGAGAUUGAGUAUCUAUCAUUGCAAGUAUAAUUGAGAACAGUUAUCUAACUCUUUCAUACAGGGAUAAGUGUCACAUAAAAGAUAUAUGAAGUAAUGAAUAGUGACAAAGAUUAUUAAUCUGAUCAGCCACAUAUAAAUAUGAUAAGCACCUCAAUUAGAUACUCUAGAAAGUCAUUAGCAUGGAAUUAGAACGAACUACAAGAAUAUUUCCUAUGUUAUUCUCAACUAUAUAGUCUAGCAUUAUCAUAGUUAGUGCAAGCAUACUUAGCAAUCAUUGUGAGACAAGACUACGCCCAUGCAUAGUGAUAUUAGCAAGGUAAAUGAGAAACAUAGCAAUCACUCCCCUGUAAUAAUGUUGCUCUGCCAGCCCAAUACACGAGAGGGGGACUAUAUAAGAAUCAAUGAAGCUGUCACUAUCACGAACUACCCCACGAUCUGGCAUAUUGGGUACAAUCGCAGAUAAAUACGGUAUAAGCACCACGCCUACACAAUAUCUAUCAUUUACCCAUGGAUCCGAUGGAUAAACGCUAUACGAUCCUAAGCAUGUAUAUAGAUCCAAUCUAACUAAGCCAAGUACAUAACUAUGAUAAACUAAGAACAAUAUAAUCUUGAAUAUAAACAAGUAGAGCAAAGUCAUAAGCAAUAUAUUGAAGUAGAACAAAGUCAUAUUCAUAAUAUUGAAGAACAAAGAUAAUUAGAAAGCAAUUAGAAGCACAAUUAGAGAAUUACCAAGAAUCCUCUUGACAGAUCCGGAAACCAAUCGAAGAUUGACUCCUUCUAGUUUUAAUCCUAUGUAGCUAUGCUAAUCUAGAUGUCUAAUUGAUGUGGUGGCUCAAAUCUUGAUCUGGGGCUUCUUCUCCGUUGAGGAAUAAUGAAUUAGGGUUGAGAGGCUCUCUCCUCUAGGGGCCAGGGGGUCUGGUUUUAUAGUCCCUUCAAGUGAAUAUGGGCCGUUGGAUCAAACCGACUUAGAUUGAACGGUUAUCCUUGAUCCUUUAGGUCGGUGGAGAUCUCCCACGAAGCAGAGUCCUGAUUGGACUCUCAGAGGGGGCGGGCGCCCAGGGCAGGAGGGCGGGCGCCCUGCCUCUGGCCCCGUUUCGCCUCCGCUUCGGUCUCGUGGCUUCUGGAGUCUUCUAGAUGUAAGAUAAUUGCGCGACAUGUGGGCCUUUCUUCCGUAUUUCCUGAUAACCCCCUGCGGAAAUAGACAAACACCAAAACUCGUGGAAUUCUAUCAGAUAAAACCCUAAGUCUAGAUGUUGAUUUCAUUUGGAUCCUUUUCUUUGUUUAUUUGAUUAUUAAAUUUGAUACUUAAGGACCGUCAACAAACUCCCCCAAGCUUACCUCUUGCUCGUCCCUGAGCAAGGAUAGACUCAGCAAUGAAUCAGAAGUUGUUGCAAUAUCUUUAAAAAUUCACGGUACACAUGCUUUUUUUAAAUAAGAUCUCAUCUCUGAGUUAGAGUAAACUGUCAAGACUUAAAACUUACUUACUUUACCUACACCAUGGGACUUGUAACCGUCACUUCUAUCUUGAUUGGUUAAAAGAUAGAACAGUCUAGUCAAGUGCCAUGUCUUUUAUCUUGAUCAGCUAUAGCUCUGGUGUUUUUGCAUAUUUUCAAAUAAAACUCAGAGAUUCCUUGUAUGACUCUCUCAUAUCUCUCUUUUGUGGUAUUUCUGGAUCCUUACCAAGGCAGUGAUGGUAUAUGCCUUCUCUCAAGAUAUGUAGUAAUUGUGGUAUAAGGCAUAGUGACAUUGCCUUCUCUCUCACCCUACUCUAAUAAGGCUUUAAUAUCUGGAGCUCAUAGGUGGGAGAUAAAAUAUACAUACUUACAAGACAUUUAUUGUAUAGUCAAAUCAUGGAUCCAAAGUAACAAGUCAAUAAGUUUAAUCAAGAUGUGCAUGUGUGGCGAAUGAAUGGUGUAUGGUGAUGAUGGUGGUAACAGUGGUGAAAGUCUAAUUCUACUUUUGCUCUUUGAGGGGAUAUAUACCUUCCUUGCUUUUUGAAUAGUGAGGAGAAUGAGAUGCUCUUCAUUUUCUUUCCUCUCAGGUGGGUAUCUUGUACCCCUAAUUCUACUGUCGGACACUUGUCCAUUUUUACCUCUCGUCUCACUUUUUCUUUUCUUUCGAGGUUCCGAGCACUUGCUCCUUUUUAAUUCCUCGUAUCUCUCUUUUUUUUAGAGCACUCAUCUCUUGAGAUAAUAUAGCAAGUGGUAGUAACAAGAUAACUUGAGCAUUUAUUUCACAGGGGAAAAUAGAAAUAUUUUUUAUUAUUCUCUCCCGGGUUAGGAGUAGAAUAUUUUUAGGUGGUUCUGGAGAUGGAAAUGGAUGGAUAUAUGUGGAUGGUACUUCCGGAAUAGAAGUAGCAUAUAUGAGUGAACGUGCAAGUGAAAUCUUGAUUUAACCACAUGACAAGCUCCUAAGGGUCUACACAGCUUGACCACACUCAAUGCUCAUAAGCAGUAAAUAGUAAAUGUGUGGCUCAAAGUCUAGCAAGCAUGUAUAUAUGGCUGUGGUAGGAAUUUAAACUCUCAUCAUACAGGAACUCAUCAUGCAACAUUUUAAAGAUUUUCAAAGAUAAAAUUCUCCAGAAUUCUAGCAUCUCUAGGAACAGAUAAAUAGCAGCUCAACCUUCCCAUAUCGUAUCCGUUAACAACUUAGACUUCAGAUCAAGUUGUCAUCCCACAAGUUUAGGUCUAGAGCAAGCUUUAAAUUAUAACAGUUAUGUCUAAACUUGAGAGAGAACUUAAAAUGUGCAAAUUAGGCAGAGCAACUAUUCAUCAUAUCCAUGCUAGAGUUUUAUUAUUAAGAUACAGAUUAGCAUAGCCACUUUAUUUAUUUAUUAAACACACUAAGCAAAAGAUAUAUAUAUAAGCAUAAAAUCUUUAUUUGGUUUUUAAUGGUUUAUGUAUAUUUAUAUUCUAAAAUUGUAUAAGUAUAAAGAUAGAUAGAUAGAAAUACUUAGCGGGAUAAAUGGGGGUGCUCUCCCCCAAGCUGAAUUUUGACGUAAUUUCUCUUGAUGUAGCUAACAGGUGGCAGAGGUAUAUUUGAAAGUCAGCAACAUUGUGACAGCGAUUAGAAUGUCCUCCGUCUGCUAGUCUUCUUGAUUCUUAAAUUAUGUGGAGCUCAAAUAGACAAUAAAUCUUGUGGAACUGAUUAAGUGUUAGCAUAAAUAUCUAGUCUUUAUCAUGUUGAGACUCCUUAAUAAUUAUUACUCCCUAUUUUUAUAUUUUUAUUUUAUAAAGCAAAAAAAUAUUUAUUUUAUUUUUAUGCCACCACAGUGAAUGUACUUAUGGGUUUCAUGCCACUCGUAUAUUCACAUGGGGCUUACUGUUUUUCACAUUUUUAUUUUCUUUUUAGGAUAGCAUGAACAUGAUUAACUAAGCAAACUGUUUAAAAUAAUUAAAAGGGAAAGGAUAACUACCAAGUUUACCUCUUGGCAAGGCGUUCGGUGUUUUUAAGUCCUCUGAACGGGACUCUUCAUUUUCUUAAUUGUCCUGGGAUUCGUUGGGUGGCGUAGUCGGUACUUCCGGCGGCGCCUCCUCUUCAUGUAUAGUUAUCUUCUCUUUGACUCGGUGCUACGGUCUCCUCUGGAUAAUUCUGUUUAAACUCUAAGUCUUCUGACCUUAUAACUUCUCCUUCGUAGUCUGCCCAUCCGUCCUUGAUGAUUUGCAUCCUCUGGUUGCGGUUGCGUCAUUUCCUUACCUGCUUAGAUUCUUCAACGAUAUAGUUAGGGUCAGUAAAAUAACGUUGUACCUUCUCUGAGGGGAAGUGCAUAUGGACUUCUCCGGUUCCAAUGUAGAUGAUUGCUUUAACGGUGCUAAGGAACGGUCUUCCCAGGAUGACGGGUGGAUCGUAUUCAUCUUCUCCCAUGUCAAUAACCUGAAAGUCUGUGUAGACAAAAUGAUCGUCUAUCUUGACAGGGACAUCAGUUACUGUUCCUUUAACUUCUCGAAAUGUCUGAUCUGCCAUCUGGAGCUGAAUAUAUGUUGGUUUUAGGGGUACGGUUCCGAACAAGAGCCGAUAGGUGACUGCGGCCAUUAUGUUGACGCCCGAUCCGGUGUCGCAAAACGUCUUGUAGAAGCUGUAUCCAUUUAUGGAGCAGUAGAUGCUUGGCAUUCCUGGGUCGUCCUUCUUGGUUAAAACGGUGACUUAAGUUGAUGAUCUUGGCCUCCAUGAACUGCAGUGACCAUCUUAGCUGACUCGGUCCACACUUGCUUGUUCCUGUUCCUCCUGUUGGUCCUCUUCCUUGAUUCACGUCUAGAUUGAUCUGGGAUUUGUGUAGUCUUGUUCCUAAAGAAAAAUGUCUCCUUCCUCCCUUUGAUGUAGAAACUGAUCUUGGCAGCACUGGCGUAGAUGAUAGCUCCCGUGGUGUUCAAGAAUGGCCUCCCUAAGAUGAUAGGUGCCCUCUCAUCAUUUCCGGUCUCUACUACUACGAAAUCUGCUGGGGCAUACAAGGUACCAACUCGGACACAGAGGUUUCUUAAUAUUCCUUUUGGAAAAGUUAUCGUCUGAUCUGCAAACUGCAAACACAUGGUUGUCUCUAAUAAAGGAUAUGUAAAGAAUUUCUCAUAGAGUACCCUGGGUAUAAUGUUGACACUGGAGCCAAAGUCACAGAGUGCUUCUGGGACGUCCACCAUGCCGAUGGAGAUCGGGAUGACGGGGCGUCCUGGAUCUCCUCUCUUGACCGGCAGAAGGUCAGUAGUGAAUUAGUGACGGGGUUACUCCAAUUACCUGCAUCAAAGAUGUCUACAAGAUUUGCAGAUUCUAAUCCUUCGGGUUGUGAUGGUAUACCGGGGUUAGUAGCAGGAACAGCAGCAACUAUAUGAUUUAAUUGAGAUUCAAUCAUUUUAUUAAAGCUAAUUUGAUUCUUGAUGGCAGUAGAGAAAUUAUCCAUUCUAUUAUUUAUAUUUUCUAGCAUUUUAUCAUUAGAUGCCAAUUUCUUAGAUAGGUUAUCCAUUAGCUUUCCUUGAUUAGACACUAACUCUCUCAAAGGUGGAAAAUUAUUAUUAUUGUUGUAAGAAUUGUUACCUUGAUAAUUACCUGAGUAGUUAGGCCUCUGUUGAUUCCAACCUUGAUUUUGUUGAGGACGGUUGUAGUAGUAGUAGUUGUUGUUGUUGAUGUAGUUCACCUCCUUAAGCGUCUCAGGACAGUGAUUGCGUGAGUGUCCAGUAUCUCCACACUCCUCACAUGUCAUGUGAGAGUCGUAGAUGUGCAUCACUUCCUUCUUAUCUCCAGCUCUAUCGUCGAGCUUCUUCAUGAGCGGGUCUAGCUUUGCAGACAGCAUGUCUACCUCAUUCAGCUGAUACAUACCUCCACCUCUCUUGCGUGUCUGGGUCCUCUCUUCAUUCCAGCUUUGGUUGGACGCCAUCUUCUCCACAAGAGCUGUGGCUUGUGAUAUAGUAAGUGAUAAGAAUGCUCCUCCAGCUGCAGCAUCCAUGGUUUCUCGGGCACUGUUGCCGAGCCCAUGAUAAAACGUCUGCAUCAGUAGCCAACUCUCCAUUCCAUGAUGGGGACAUUCUAGGAUGUAGUCUUGAAAGCGCUCCCAUCCUUCUGGAACAGAUUCAUCAUUUUGUUGCUAAAAAUUUGUAAUCUUCCCACAGAGAGCAUUGGUCUUGCCCAUGGGAAAGAACUUAGCCAGGAAGUUUGUUGAGCAGAGUGCCCACGUAGUAUUCUUCUCCUUUGUAGCGUAGAACCACUGCUUUGCUCUUCCUAACAGUGAGAAUGGGAAGAGGCGAAGUGAAGUAGUAUAGCAUCUUUGGAAACUCCUGAUAUGGUGAAUGUGUUGCAUAUCUCCAGGAAGUGUUGUAGAUGAGCACUAGCAUCUUCGUGUGCCUUCCCACAGAACUGGUUGGAUUGCACCAUGUUGAUAAGUCCAGGCUUGAGCUCAAAGUUGCCAUCGAUCCCUGCAGCAGGUCCAGUGCGGAUGUUGUCCAUAGUGGGAGCUGAGAACUCGCGGAUUGAUUUGUUCGCCAUGGCUUCGAACUCUGAAGACAAGUUCCAGUGAUCUUCUUGAUUGGAUGAAGCUUCUUGCUGAAGUGUUGAUGAUCUCUUCUUGAGCUUGGCUCUCGUCUUCUUGAAUAAUGUUUCGGGAUUGUCAACAAAAUUUCCUGGAAGAUGUCUUCUAUUCAUACAUUUCCCUGCAUAAGAUAAAAUAGAAAAAUAUCGGGGUAAAACUGUAUGAGAGAAUAGAUAAGCUCAAUCAGAUUAGUAAUGCGAAUGAUAACUCAAAAUCUUUUAUUCCAUUCGUGAUUAUUAAUCAACCUUCCCCGGCAACGGCGCCAAAAAUGCUUGUUGGGUAUUCUUAACAUCACUACCAAAAGUAGACAAUUCCUAAUUCUAGUAACGGUGCCAAAAAUGCCAAACCUAUCCCACAUGCCACUUAAGCCAAGUUGUCAUCCCCAGCAUGACAUGAGAGACACGGUAUUGAAAUAUGCAAUUGCUCUUCUAAAUAAAUAAUGAAUGGGAUCUGCAAGCGCACAGAUUAAUACCGAUGUAGCAUUUUAACCGGGAAGUAUUCCAGGUAUCGUUAUUUAUAUUUUUACCACUGGGAAGGGAUUAGUAACCAUCAAUAUUGAUUACAGAAUAGAAUAUGAGAUUGAGUAUCUAUCAUUGCAAGUAUAAUUGAGAACAGUUAUCUAACUCUUUCAUACAGGGAUAAGUGUCACAUAAAAGAUAUAUGAAGUAAUGAAUAGUGACAAAGAUAAUUAAUCUGAUCAGCCACAUAUAAAUAUGAUAAGCACCUCAAUUAGAUACUCUAGAAAGUCAUUAGCAUGGAAUUAGAACGAACUACAAGAAUAUUUCCUAUGUUAUUCUCAACUAUAUAGUCUAGCAUUAUCAUAGUUAGUGCAAGCAUACUUAGCAAUCAUUGUGAGACAAGACUACGCCCAUGCAUAGUGAUAUUAGCAAGGUAAAUGAGAAACAUAGCAAUCACUCCUCUGUUGCUCUGCCAGCCCAAUACACGAGAGGGGGACUAUAUAAGAAUCAAUGAAGUUGUCACUAUCACGAACUACCCCACGAUCUAGCAUAUUGGGUACAAUCGCAGAUAAAUACGGUAUAAGCACCACGCCUACACAAUAUCUAUCAUUUACCCAUGGAUCCAAUGGAUAAACGCUAUACGAUCCUAAGCAUGUAUAUAGAUCCAAUCUAACUAAGCCAAGUACAUAACUAUGAUAAACUAAGAACAAUAUAAUCUUGAAUAUAAACAAGUAGAGCAAAGUCAUAAGCAAUAUAUUGAAGUAGAACAAAGUCAUAUUCAUAAUAUUGAAGAACAAAGAUAAUUAGAAAGCAAUUAGAAGCACAAUUAGAGAAUUACCAAGAAUCCUCUUGACAGAUCCGGAAACCAAUCGAAGAUUGACUCCUUCUAGUUUUAAUCCUAUGUAGCUAUGCUAAUCUAGAUGUCUAAUUGAUGUGGUGGCUCAAAUCUUGAUCAGGGGCUUCUUCUCCAUUGAGGAAUAAUGAAUUAGGGUUGAGAGGCUCUCUCCUCCAGGGGCCAGGGGGUCUGGUUUUAUAGUCCCUUCAAGUGAAUAUGGGCCGUUGGAUCAAACCGACUUAGAUUGAACGGUUAUCCUUGAUCCUUUAGGUCGGUGGAGAUCUCCCACGAAGCAGAGUCCUGAUUGGACUAUCAGAGGGGGCGGGCGCCCAGGGCAGGAGGGCGGGCGCCCUGCCUCUGGCCCCGUUUCGCCUCCGCUUCGGUCUCGUGGCUUCUGGAGUCUUCUAGAUGUAAGAUAAUUGCGCGGCUUGUUAAUAUCUCUAUGUAAUCCCGACGUGUGGGCCUUUCUUCCGUAUUUCCUGAUAACCCCCUGCAGAAAUAGACAAACACCAAAACUCGUGGAAUUCUGUCAGAUAAAACCCUAAGUCUAGAUGUUGAUUUCAUUUGGAUCCUUUUCUUUGUUUAUUUGAUUAUUAAAUUUGAUACUUAAGGACCGUCAACAUGUACCUGCUCAUAGAGACAAGGCAGAGAUCAAGUGCAUGGGCCCUGUUGGUGGAAAACACCAAUAGAACCAACAGUGUAUUUGUUCUUCUCUAACCUUAAGCAUAGUGAGCAAGACAAAGUUGAUGGAUGAUAAGAUCAUGAGUGUAGCAUUUAAAGCAUUUGUCAUAUCAGAUCGCUCAACCUAAUGGAAAGAUAAUCUAUCUAUACUUAUGUUUUUUAUAUAUAUCUUCCAAAGAUUGUGUGUGCAACAUUUUAGUUCAUAUGAUUAGGAGUGUGGGAUGACAAAGGUGGAAGGACUAAACAUAUCGAAUCGAUUGGGUUGGUUAAUCUAGAGUUGUAAAUUAUACAUGUUUGUCUCAUUUAUUCAUGUGAAUGCCAGAACCAAGGAGAAGCCUAUAAAAGUGAUAGUCAAGUACCUUAAGAUGUUACCUUACUUGAAGAGUGAUGGUACAGUAUCACCUUGUGGAAGCUUUCCUUUCUUAGCGGUUGUGCAUCAUGUUUGUGGCACCCUCCAUGGAUCAUCUCUUGUGAGCUAUGCCUUCCUUGUGUAAAUUGUUAACCUUCAUGUGUCUCUCUCUUUGUCUCCAAUGUGAGUUUAUCUCAGGACUUCCCAGGUCGAUAUUGAAUGUUUUCCUGCAGGGGUUAGUCCAACAAAAUAUCCAAUAUGUACUAUAACAUACUAUCGGCUCAAAAAUCAACCUAGACACCAUGUCUAAUUUGAUUUAGGAGGGCAUUUUAACCUAAGCACCAUGCUUAAUUUAAAAUCCCUUGGAAGUAAGAUCAUCAUUCCUAAACUAAGCACCAUGCUUAAUUAAGAGAUAAAUGAAACUACUCCAAACCUAGACAUAUACUAAAGCAAAUAAAGGUAGCAUGAGAGCAUUUAUAGAGAUCUACUCAAGUGGAGAUGAAGUAGUGUGAUUAGUAUUUAACAAAUUAAGCAUGUCUCAAAGGUAGGGACAACCAACAUAGCAACAUGGCAAAGGAUGUUUUUAUGUAAAGUACUACCCCAAGCUUGAAUUUUGCAAAAUUCAAGUUUGGAUGAAUUUAAUUCAAUGUUGUAUGAUGACUGGUUAGACAUACCUUGUGCUUGUCAUUCAUCCGAUCUUCUUGCUCCUAUCCUGGGAAGGUUAGUGACAAGAAUACCCGAAGGAAUUUUUUUACAAUUAUCCUUAUAUGCUCAAUACACAAGGUAAUGUUGCAAAUAAUUAAAAGCUCAUGUUACGAUCUGAUCAGUGCUUAUUUUAGGACACUAAGCUUGUCCUUGGGAAACCAUCAAUUUAUGUCUGCGAAGUGGUUUCCCCUCCAACGCUGACCUAUAUCAAGAUCAACUCAACGAGAUCUGCAAUAUUUAUUAUAGACAUAUGCAUCGACAACCGCCCUUUUAAAGUUUUUAUAAAUAGAAAGGAAGAGGGGGUUGGAGAUCUCGAAUGUGGUGAUGUUGGAGAGACCAAUGGAUUGGGAAGAUGUUGCAUAUGAGCAUGGAGUAAACGAAGUGGCUAUGAAAUAAAUUCCAUGCUCAUUAAUGUUUGGAGUGAAAUCCAUGUGGUAUGGUUAAAAUGGUAAGGUGAGUGUGGUAAAAAAAGAAAAGAAAAAGGAUACACAGACGACUUGGCUCAAAACUAGCACAGCUACCGUUCCUCGGCAACGGCGCCAGAAAGCUUGUUGGGUAUUUUAAACGCAAACAGAAAAAUCCGCAAGCGCACGGAUACCGAUGUAGCUUUCACCCGGGAGUAUUCCAGAGUAUCGAUUUUCCACAGGGAACGUGAGUGUACUAAUUAAGAUUCAAGAUCACCCAAGGAUAACUAUAUAAUUAUUUUUGGUGGGAAGAGAGGAAGUUUCAUGAGAGUUCUCUAGUUGAUCUAAGAAUCAAAAAUUACUUCAAAGAUUAUUUAUUUCGGGACAUCAGAACACUAACCACAGAAAGAGAUGAGAAGGGGGCUAGGAAGCUCUGACUACGGUCCUACAAACACUGAUCCGAACGAGGUGGAAUACGUUGACCGUUAGGGCUGUCACUACCCUAGGGCUACCACAACAAUCCGCAGGAUUAGGUGUAAUUCCACGUAAUUGCAAGACUAAACACCACGUCUAAUCUAUUAAUUAUUACUCUAGCGUUUCAAAGACUAGAGCACUUGAUGCAAGCGGGAAUCCAAUAAAUAACUUGAAUGUAAAUAGAAGUAAAUAAAGAACUCAGGAAUUAUGAAAUGAAGAACUUGGAGAACGAUGAAGAACGAACCAGUUGCUGCAAAAGUAUAAUGUUGAGGAAGAUCCCACAGAUCCGGCUCCUCCUCCGCUCUCCUCUUCUCUCUCCCUAUUUUCUAGAUUACUACUAGAACCAACUAGAACUAGAACUAGACGAACUAGAACUAGAACUAGAUGAACUAGAGGGAUCCUCUCUACUUGGAUGAAUAAUUGAAACCCUAGCUUUGAUUCUGUAGAAGAGGUAUGUUCUCCAGGGGCCAGGGGGCCUGCUUAUAUGGCCCUUCCAAAUGAACGUGGGUUGUCGGAUCAAAACGACCUUAAUCGCACGGUUUUCCUUGAUCCUCAAAGGCGGUGGAGCACGAUCCGCGAGACCUGCCCUGAUUGGUCACCAGGGCAGGGCGGGCACCCAAGGGGGGAAGGCGGGAGCCCCGCCCCCGGGCCCGCUCGGCCUCCCGUUCGUUCUCGUAGCUUCUGGAGUCUUCUAGAUGAUAGAAAAUUGGCGCACACGUUAAUAUCUCUAUAUAAACCCGACGUGUGGGCCUUUCCUCCAUAUUUCCUGAUAACCCCCUGUAGAAAUAGACAAACACCAAAACUCGUGGAACUCUGUCAGAUAAAACCCUAAGUCUAGGUGUCGGUUGCAUUUGGAUCCUUUUCGAUGAUUAGUUGACGGUUAAAUGUGAGCAUUAAGGACCGUCAACACAACUCUUCCAUCUAGUCUCAGCCUUGGUGCCCUAUCUGGAAUAAUGUUCACGACCAUCUAACCUUACCUAUGAUCAAUUCACCUUUGCCUGCUAAGGUCUCUGAGCUCUAGAUCCCUCGUACCCAGAAUUGGAACCAUCAACUUCUCUCCACCACCUUCAGUGAUCAAGCCGUCCAUGCCAUUGAAGCCACUCCUAUUGUCAGCUCCAACUACAAUGAUAUUCUCAGAUGGACUCCUGCUAAAAAUGGUAUCUGCACUACUAAAUCUGUUUACUCUUAUCUUGCUCAACAGCAUGUUCAUCAACUUCCUAGUCAGGGAACCCAAAGUUUAAUUGAUGAUGCAAGCAACAUUCUACAGAAGGAUUGGAAAAGUAAGUCUAUCCCACCACUUCUUAAAACCUUUGCUUGGAGACUUGUUAGAAGAGCAUUGGCUACUGGUGAAAGAGCGGGUAGGUACUCUGUCCAUAUAGACAACCACUGCUCUUAUUGUGGUGCUGUUGAAACUGACCAACAUCUGUUUUUUAAAUGUAAUUUAUCUACUGAUAUCUGGUCUGCAGCAAACCCUCCUCUCAUUACUAAUAACAUUCCUGCAGAAGAUGAUGGUGUCCAAAUGUCCCUACCUCUUCUUUUUACCCACAAUCUAACUGAUGAAAUCUUAUGUAAAACUCUUUUCCUUCUCUGGUACAUUUGGAAGGCACGAAAUGAUAAUAGGUUCCAGAGAAGAACAUGGACAUCUCUCCAGAUUCAACAAGCAGCAAAUGCUCACAUGAAUACACACCUUGAGGCACUAAAAGAACAAGAACAAUAUCAGUCGGGUACUUUUCUCCUUCCUGUAGGUGCUACUCCAGUACCCCAACAAUCAAUUGGUCCAAGCAGAACAACAACAGACACAUCUUCACCAGCUAUGCUAACUAAUGUGGUUUCCUAAUGUCACAAACUACACCCGAGGUAUAAAUGUUGCACAUGCAGGAACUAAUAACGCCUCAAAUCAUGGUAACAACUACUCCACAGCCAUGCUGGACAGGUGGUUAGAACUGUUUCCUACCUUAAUUCAAGGGACACGAUGCUAUACCGAUGCCUCAACUCAGCCAGAUCAAACUCCCUCUCUUCACAAAGAGGUUGGAAUUGGAGUCUUCAUCAUCAACACACAGGUGUCUCCCCCAUUAAGCAUUUUUAUCAAGGCUGCAAUGCAAAAUUCAACAUCAGUCCUAAUGGCAGAAUCACCAGCUAUGAUGGUAGCAGCUAUGUUGCUGCAAAAAUUGAAUCUCCAGGAGGCAACCUUGUUGUCUGAUAAUCAACAGCUGGUCCACUUCUUAAACAGAGCCGACCUCUCCAAUCCUCCUGAUUGGAGAAUCAAACCAUACACAUAGAUGAUCAGUUCUCCCUUAGCAGCCACAAGCUCUUCCAUUCGCAAGAUUAGAAGAUCUCAGAAUUAAAUGGCAGAUAUGUUGGCUAGACAGGCUCUUACUGUUUUCCAUUCCAAUCAUAAUAAUUUCUCAGGAGCUUCUACUAACCCUCAGCAUGUACAAGAGUGUUCGGUCCUUGUGGCACUCCAAUCUGUAACCAUAAACUCUGUAAUGGUUCUAACAGCUUCUUGUUGUUAAUUAAGGAAUGAAGUUGUUGUCAAAAAAAAUAGGGCCUAGAUGGAAAUUAAUUCUUUACAUCACCAUAUCACAUCUUUUGUAGUUUUGAAUCUGGAUUCUUCCCGUAAUGCUAUGUUUGAGUUUUAUUAAUGUAUUUUUUCUCUUGUUGUUCCAAAAUGAAGGACUUAGGGACCUCGAAAAAAAACUUGUGUUUCUUCAGGUAGAUGCUAAAAACAAAACAUGACACAUUCUUCUUGGAUCUGGCAUCAUAGGUUUUAUUUCUAAAAUUAAAACUCUGUGUAGAAUGUUAUAUUUGAGUUUUCAGUUAAGCUAUUUAGCCCCAAAAUGGUUUCAAAAAUCUGGGAAAAUCAUCUAAAAUCUACAAGAAUAUGACCUAUGACGUGCGACCACUUGGAGUUGGCUAGUGGACUUCUUUCGGGGUUAUUUUUUAUUAUUCUUUUGGCUACAUUUGUAAAAUUUUGUAAAACUAUUCGUAGAGGUAGCUGGGUUUCAAUCCGCGUAUGAAAAUCAAUUUCUAGAGACGGAUGAGUACCUGCCUCUAGAAUUCGUUGAUUUCUAGAGAUAGACAAUUACGUAGAGGCAUGUCAAAUAGCCACAUUUAUAAAUCCUUUGCAGUCACCUCUACAAAUGCUUUUUAUGUAGCGUUGAUUGUUGUCUUAGUUGUUCUCAGUGGCAAACCCACAUGUUGAUGAGGACAUCGCCACGCUGGACACGUCGAUACCAUCGUCUUUCUUAAGUUGCAAUUCAUCUCCAACUCAGCUACCACGUCACUCACGGAUUCAGCAAAUACGUCGUCAGUGUUUCUAUCAUAAAUUCUUCAUACGACAUCAAAACGGGGUGAUCUUUGACUCGUUGGAAAGAGGACGACGAUGCUGUCAUUUUAGAUCUGGUCCCAGCUCCAGAUCAUUCGUUGAUUAAUCUGUAUGACCACGAUAAGGUGCUGCAUCACCUAUUUUUGACCAACUUGGCCAUGUAUCGAGUCGGACCUUAAGCCCAAGUAAUGGACGCCUCUCCCUGAUCGUCUCUAACCCUAGGACAUCGAUCUUUUAUAUUUCACGCAGCAACCGCUAUUUAGACACGGGUUUUGAUUAGAGUUUAGUUUUCCAUCGAGAAGCUAAAUCGUUCAUUGUAAUUAUAGUGAUCUAGGGCCCCGUUCUUGAUCUCCUCCACUGUGUCGAUUAGUCCCUUGGAACCGAGUUCUUGAACGUUCUUUGAUAUUCUCAUCAACUCAUAUUUGUAAUUUUAAAUUGCGUGUUUAUACUUUCUUGCUUGUAUUCUUUGAUUCGCUUGCAGGAACAGCCUUCUUACGAGGUCAAUCAAGUUGUGCUUCGUUGAUAACCAACAGAGCAGUGGUGUAACGGUUGCAGGAUUCGAAUCGUGACUGAUUUGAAGUCGGAUCACCAAAGUCGAGAUCUCCACAAAUCAAACUUAUCGGUUACCUCUCGAAAGAUCAGGUCUGGUCCUCAUCAAUUGGUAUUAGAUAUCUUAGGUUUACCGCGAGGUAUAAUCUCAUUUGCCCUAGAUUCAUAUUUGUUCAUUACCUACAGUCUACAAAAAGCCUAAAAAAUAGUCAAUUUCUGAUGUCCUAUCAACCGUUGUGCCUUGCAAUUUUGUUUUCAUAUUUGCUUUGUUGAAUUUGUGACCGUGGUUGAGUCUAGUUGCUGAUUUAGAUUGUGUUCGUCGUUGUAGUUCAAUUGCACCGUUGUUGUUUAUUUAUAUUUCCGCUGCUAUCCCAUCCACCGUUCCCCAACAACAAGUCGAAGUCACCAUAUUACUCAACUUGCCCUGCUAGCCGCCUUGUAUGAUCUCUCGCCGCCGCGUUAACCCUAGAUAAUAGUUUGCCAGCCGCUGUUAUUUUGCUUGCAUGACAACCCUCCUUAUAUCUCCAGGUGAAUACCUAUUGUUGUUAGUCACAGGGAUGAUUCAUCUUGUGAUCGGUGUUGGAGUUUAGGGACGCUUUGCCCUAACUGUGCCGCCAUGUUGUGCCUUUUGAAAACAUAACUUGAGAUACCUUCGGUGAAACAGGCACAACUUUUGGCUCGUUUAUCAGAAAAAUCUAAAAUUUUUACGGCAACUUCUUGACACAAUUUGGACCUGACCCAAACUGGGCCUCGCCCCGUUUGGUUUCAUCAAAAUUGCCAAAAAAAAUCGAGAAAAUAAAGAAAAAAUUGUCAAAGGUUUUGCACGCAUUUUAGACAACUUGCUGAAUUUUUGUAGACCACAUCUGACCUCAGUUAUAGGUGCCAAUUUUUGUGGCUACAUCUUUUGUGAUCCUUGUUCAGAGAAAAAUAUAAAAAUAGUAAAAAAUAAAAAAUCUUGAUUCCUAUUAGUGCCUUUUGGGAAAAUCCAUGAAAAAAUAGGAUAAAGGAAAAAUCAGCCCUAUUACUUGUUCUAUGAGUCUUAUCAUCCUACUUUGUUUCACCUUGUUGUGCUAUGUCUAGACACAUCUUAGCCAACAAUUGUGAUUUGUCCUUUGGAUACUUAUUGAACUUAGCUAAAUCUGCAUUUGAAUAUUGCUAAUCCUUGCUACACAUAUUGUGCCUUUCUAAAGCUUCACAUAUACUUCUGUCAGCACAGAUUCAUCUUGCAACUGUUUAGCCAUACUCAACAACAGAUUACUUUAUCAAUUUGGUUUAACUCAUGUUUGGCUUUGGUAAGAACACUUAUAAGAUGGUGGUAAGCCGCUUCUGAUUUUGUAUUCCACUUUCACCAUCACUUUGUUUCCUUUUAGUUGAUAGUGAAAAUAAGUUGCUGUUGUUUUUCCCUAUUUUUUAACCAUGGCAGGAUCUCCAAUGGAUUUUAAUAAUUGUGUGUCCAAGGAUGAACUUACAACGUUCAUCACUAAACAGCAUAAUCUUAUGAACGAGCUGACGCACAAUGUGAACAAUCUUGUCAUCCGUAUUGAACAGAUUGAGCAACGCCCUCCAUAUCAUCGUGGUGAUGAUGAAGAUGCUGAUGCAGAUGGAGAUAUAUCUGAUCAUGAAGAUGUGGAUGCUGAUGGUGACGCCCACAACCGUCGUCGCUACAACUUCAAUCGUCGUGGUAUGAGGUAAUAAUUAUGGUAAUAAUGAUCCUUUUGCUAAAAUUAAAUUUAGCCUACCUCCUUUUGCUGGUAAUGUUGAUCCUGAAGCAUACUUAAAUUGAAAACUUGUUGUUCAACAAAAAUUUGAUUCUCAUAAUGUUCCUGCUGAGUAUAGAGUUAGACUUGCUACUAGUGAGUUUACUAAUUUUGCUUUGUUUUAGUGAAGUGAUCUUUGCAAUGCUAAUAAUGCUGCUGAUGUGCCUCAAACUUGGAGUGCUUUAAAACAAUGUAUGAAAUCUCAUUUUGUUCCUCCUUAUUAUCAACGUGAUUUACGUCUUAAACUACAAACUUUAAAACAAGGAGAUAAAGGAAUAGAAGCAUACUAUCAAGAAUUGUUUAUUGGGUUAGCACGUUGUGGUGUAAAUGAAGAUGAUGUUGAUGCUAGUGCUAGAUUUUUUGGUGGUUUAAAUCAUGAUAUUCAGAACAUUCUUGAUUACAAAGAAUAACGUAAUUUUUCUCAAUUGUAUCAUCUUACUAUUAAGGUAGAACGUGAAGUAUAGGGACGCAAGCAACACCAGUCUUUUCGGUCUAAUAAUGGGAGGAAUUUUCAGCAGCGUUCUGAGCCGGAAACGCCCAAGAUUUCUGUUCCACUACAGCCAUCUACACUUGUAAAUUAUCUAAUGUGCAACCCUCAUAGCUGAAGAAAGGUGUCACUUUGGGUGCUUCUACUAGCUCCUCCUCGCCCAGCUCUAAAAUCAUUUGCCACCGAUGCAAAGGCAUGGGACAUGUCAUGAAGAAUUGCCCAAGUCGUCGCACUUUUAUUGCUACCGAGGAUGGAUAUGUAAUUGCUAGUGAUGUUGAAGAUGAUUUAGCCCUUGCUGCUAACAUUGUUGUAGAUUCUACCGAGGGCGAUCAAGACACGGAGACCAUCACCAUUGACUUAGUGGCUGCAUCCGCGGGCUAUCCUAGCCUUCUUGUGCAGCGUGUGUUGAGUUCACAUGUGGGACGUGAAGAAGAGAUGCAGAUCCAGCGCUACAAUUUGUUCCACAUAUAUCUCAGUGUGCAGGGUUGUCAUGUUCUCACCAUCAUUGAUAGUAGGAGUUGCAACAACUUGGUGAGUUUAGAUUUGGUUGAGAAGGUUGGCUUGACCACACGACAACAUUUGUAUCGAUACAAACUGUUGAUAUUUGGGAACGCAAUAAGGAAUUGAUCCGCAAGCGCACGGAUAUCGGUGAGCACUUCACCCGGGAGGUUAUCUAGAGUAUCGUAUUUAUUUUUUUACCACUAGGAGAAAGAGUGCAUCUGACUAACCGGUCUAUUACUACUAACCCUUUAGGCACAAAGAAUGUCUCUCGAUGUGAGUGAUAAAUAGAGAAGACUGCAACCGUAGUCUCCUUCUAACCUUGGUAAGGAUGAUUUACUGUUCUAUUGGGGAGGCUAACGGAAUCUAGACACCACAAAGGAUGUUCAACCCGCACCUAUAAACCCUAUCCUUCCUGCUAACGAGAUAUGGUCUGCAAAGGUAACUCGGAAUUGUCACGUUCCUCACUACAACCACGGUCCAGCUAGUCAGGGAAUAUCUAUGAGUACCCCAGCCUAAACACCACGUUUACGCCAGUAAUGAUUACUCUAAACUCUACACGAAGAGAUUAAAGUAAACUCAUAAACCAUAAGAACAAUAAAACAAGAGCUUACUAGAAUUUAGAAGUCGAAAUACUGAAGAAUCCUAGGAGCAAGCUUCGGGUUAGGAGAACUUGAUCCCGCAGGUACAAGCUUGGAGUAGACACCGACAGGCCGGGCUUCCACCAAUCUACACCUCCACUCUAUCUCUCUCAAUCUAGUAGAAACUAGAAGAUCUAUUUCUACUUUACAUUGGUUGCUAAGCCUAAAAAGAAAUAUUAAUUAGAGAAAAGGUUUUCCUUCGAGGGCACCCCUCAAUCUCUAUGAUAAUUUCUUCAUGUCUUCUCCAGGGGCCAGGGGGGUCUCCUUAUAUAGUCCUCCUCCUCUAUGCGUUUUUGGGUCGGUAGGCGAGGUGGUACUAUGUUUUUCUUGAUCGAAUAGGUCGGUGGAACAUCCCGUGCGAAGAGAGUCCCGAACUAGAUCCAGCAGGGGGCGGGCGCCCAGGUCACCAAGGCGGGCGCCCUAGGCCUGGCCCCUUUCGGCCUCUGCCUUCUUCCCGUGGCUUCUGGAGUCUUCUAGAUGGUAGAAAAUCGUGUGGUGCGUUGAUAUCUCUAUGUAAUCCCGACAUGUGGGCCUUUCUUCCUUAUUUCCUGAUAACCCCCUGCAGAAACAGAUAAACAACAAAACUCGUGGAAUUCUGUCAGAUCAAACCCUAAUUCUAGGUGUUGGUUGUAUAUUGGUCAUUUCCCUUGUUUAUUUGAUAAUUAAAAUUGAUACUUAAGAACCGUCAACAAAUACCCCCAUACUUAGGCUUUUACUCGUCCUCGAGAAAAGGAUGGUUAAGAACAAUAUCUGGGGUAAAACAUUUUAAAAGCAUUCUCUUUAUAAUUGCAGGGUGUUAAAAAUCCACUGUGUACUAUAGUCAGGGAUGUUUAUGGUUAAGAGUAAAGAUCCUUUCUUCUCAAUCCUGUCACUUGGAGUUUUUGUAUAUUUUUUUGAAAGAAAGUUAGCAUACCUUUUUAUCCUCAUAGGUUCUUCUCAGAUCACUCAUUAUCUUUUAUAUAUCUCACUGAGGUUGUUUUAUUUUGCUAAAAUUAUACUUACUUUGCAUUUAUUGCCUGAUCAAAACGGGAUCCGAGGAGGGGAAUGUCAUACUCUUAGAUCAAAGACUUUGGAAAUUAAAAUCUCUGUCAACUCUUGCUGGCAUAUUGCUUAUUAGAGGGACCAUGGGCUAUCAUUUUCUCUUUUUCUUCUUUUUUUUAAGUGGAUACCGAGGUAUCCCUAAUUCUACUGCCGGACACUUGUCCAUUUUUUCUGCAAGGUUGUCGAGCACUUGCUCCUUUUUAUUUCCUCGAAAUAUCUCUAUUUUUGCAUAGCCCAUGCCUCUAAUGCAAUAAUACUUCGGAAGAGUGAAUCUUUCUGAAUAAAUGUCUUGAUCUUAGGAGCAUGAUAAACCUCUCAACAAGGGUCUAACUCAUUUUGAACAAACUCAAUACAGAGGAGAUAGCUUUUAUAAUCAUAAUUAAUAUUUUUAGUUUUAUCAGGCAUAUAAAACACUGAGGAUGGUAGCUAGAGUUUUGAAUAUUUUGAAAUAAAUUUUCCAAGUAGCAAUGACAUCAAGAAUAAGAAACUCAUACUCUACCAUCACAUAUUCCAUAUUGACUUAAGUAACACUGGGUUUUAAAAUGAUUUUAUAAUAGUUGCAAGUUUUCAGGAAAUAUCAUAGAUUGAGAUUAACCAUGAUUAGAAAUAUUUUAAUCUUUUUAAUUUAUCAUGUCGGAAACAAUAUUCUGCAUAAUCCAAAAUAUAUGUAUGUGUAAAGUAAAGUGUGCAGAGUGUGUACCUGAAUCGUGGAGUGGUGUGGUCGGAGUGUGUUUGGCAUGUCGAGGGAUCUCCCCCAUACUUGUUUUCUGCUUUCUUGCACAAAAAUAAAGUAGAGACACACAAGACAUAAUAAUAAUAAUAAUAAUACUCUUUAUUAAUCUUGAGGCAUUUAUUACAAAAUACUAGUAGCAAACUGAUAGCAAACUGAUGAUAAUAGUAAACCUAAACCGAAUUUAAAGAUAUAUAACUAAGAUGCAUUGCCUCAAGGUCUAAUCUAGAUAACUUAGCGGCGCUUUAAUUCCCUAAUCUUCUUGUUGGCACUGGCAAGAUCAUGCCUAUGGCCUAGUAUAAUAGUGUUGUGGUUAGAGAGCUGCCUAGUGAGGGAAUUAAUCGAGGACUAGAGGUCUAUGAUAACUCUGUCUAGUCUGCGAACGUCCUCAUCAAUAUCCAUUAUAGUCUUGCGACGCUUGGGAGGUGUCUCAAAAGCAUUGAGAGCGUGCUUCGGGGCUGCCUUUGGAGGGAUGAAACGGACUUUGGCUGCUCUAAUCCCUUCAAAGUAAGGCCUUUCCUCCUCCGUAGUGUAGCGUACGCUGCUGAUCUCGCCGCUCCAGUUGGUCUUGACUCCAACGACUCUCUCAUUGGGUCUAGGUGGAAGGAUCCUUGUGCCGGUUGGCACCUUGAUGGUGGUCUUCGUCUUGGAGUAGGGGUUGUGACGGUGCGGUGAACUGGUUGAGCAUGGUAGGAUUGGACGGAGCUGCGUUGGCGUAAUGGCAUGGCUUCUUGCUGUCGCUCUGUGUUGGCCGGGACGAGAGCACGAGCAUCAGGGUCUUCCACAGGCUCCAUGUUGAGGUUGAAGGGGACGACUUCCCAAUCAUCGUGGUACUUCUCGGCCAUUGGAGCAGCAAGGAACUAAUCAAGCUCUAAUUGAAGGAGAGAAGGCUUGGUGGCUUGGUGUUUGAAAACUGAGGUCAGGGGUCUGUUUAUAUAGGGGUCAAAAAGUGCCUCUAUGGGUUGUUCGGGUUGCUCCCGUCGAUGUGCGUACGAAACUUUCCAUCCGAGGGAUUAUUCGGAUUACCAUAAGUGCAUUCUCCAUAACAGAGAAAAUCGGGACCGAGGGGGAACAGGAGCAGGGCGCCCGCCCACCUGAGCUGGGCGCCCGCCCUCUCUCUGGCCCCUCUGUGGGCCCACUUUCUCGAGCACGUUUCUAGAUGCGAAAUUAUUUAGAAAAAUAUAUAUAUGACCCAAAAACAUCAGACUAAAAAGGUCGGGCUCUAAUUCUCCAUGGGAAGGUAAAAGUGGACUACGUCUAUUUCUUCUAAUUCUUUAUUAGGCUCUAAAAAUAAUUUAAGACGUUGACCAUUUACCUUGAAUAACGUACCUUCGUCAUUUUGAAGUAUAAUAGCUCCGUGGGAUGAUGAAUUAAUUACCUUGAAUGGUCCUUCCCAUUUGCUCUGGAGUUUUCCAUGCCCGAAAAGCUUCACCUUGGAAUUAAAAAGUAAUACCUUAUCUCCGGGUGUGAACUCCUUCUUCUUGAUUCUCUUGUCAUGCCACCUUUUGACUCUUUCUUUGUAAAUCUUUGAGUUGUGAUAUGCCUUCUAUCGCCAUUCUUCCAAUUCUGAUAGUUGCAUUUUUCUAUAAUCUCCAGCAACAUCUAGGUCCAUAUUCCAUCUCUUUAUGGCCCAGUGUGCUUUGAACUCUAGUUCAACAGGUAGAUGGCAAGUCUUCCCGUAUACCAAUUGGUAUGGAGACAUUCCAAUUGGGGUCUUGUAUGCUGUUCGGUAUGCCCAGAGUGCAUCGGGUAACUUGUCUUUCCACGCCGUUCCUAUUUCAUUUACUGUCUUCUGAAGAAUAUUCAUGAUUUAUUUGUUGGAAGUCUCUGCUUGGCCACUUGUCUGAGGAUGAUAGGGGGUAGCGACGUUGUGACGGAUUCCGUGUUUUGAUAGAUAUUGCUUGAAGCGUUUGUCGAUGAAGUGUGCUCCUCCAUCACUUAUCACUACUCUGGGGACUCCAAAUCUUGGAAAUAUAAUUUCUUCAAACAUCCUCUUUGAACUGAUGUUGUCGGCAUGCUUGCAAGGUAAUGCCUCUACCCACUUGGAGACAUAGUCAACCGCCACCAAGAUGUACUCACACUUCUUUAAUGGAGGAAAUGGACCCAUGUAGUCUAUUCCCCAGACAUCAAAUAGCUCAAUCUGAAGGUUGUUGGUGAGUGGCAUUGCAUCCCUUGUAUUUAUGUUUCCGUACCUUUGACAUGGCCCACAUCUUCUGAUAUAUUGCUUCGUGUCUUCAUACAUUGUAGGCCAGUAGAAUCCACACUGCCAGAUCUUUGAAUGUGUACGGAAUGCUCCAUAGUGACCUCCAUAUGGUGAUGAAUGACAUCUGUCGAUGAUCUUCCAUCCUUCCUUAGUGGUCACGCAUCUCCUGAGUAAGCCAUCAGAGCAUACUCGGAAGAGGUAGGGCUCAUCCCAUAUAUGUGAACGACUUUCUUGAAUAAGCUUCUUCUUGUUUGCUCCUAGUGGUACAUACCCUGAAACCAUAAAAUUAACAAUAUCUGCAUACCAGGGGUCAGACCUGUUAAUCCCGUAGAGCAUGUCGUCCCGGAGUGAAUCAUUGAUGGGGCUUUCUUGUGGACUCUUAAAAUACAUUCUAGAUAAGUGAUCAGCAACAGAAUUUUCUACUCCCUUUUUAUCUGUUAUUUCUAAGUCAAAUUCUUGGAGUAAUAAGAUCCAUCUAAUCAGGCGAGGUUUAGCAUCUUUUUUAGUGAGCAAAUAUUUUAGUGCAGCAUGAUCAGUGUAAACAAUUAUUUUAGCUCCAACUAAAUAAGAUCUAAAUUUAUCAAUGGCAAAGACAAUAGCCAGAAGCUCUUUUUCAAUGGUUGCAUAAUUAAGUUGAGCUCCUGUUAAAGUUUUACUGGCAUAAGCAAUUGCAUGAUGCUUCUUAUUUUUAGUUUGUCCCAAUACUGCCCCCACAGCAUAAUCACUAGCAUCACACAUAAUUUCAAAAGGCAACGACCAAUCGGGGGGUUGAAUGAUUGGUGCAGAGAUGAGUGCUUUCUUUAAUAAAUUGAAAGAUGUUAGACAUGCAUCAUCAAAUUCGAACGGAGCAUCCUUGCCUAGCAAAAGAGUAAGUGGUCUAGCAAUAAAUGAAAAAUCUUUUAUGAAUCUACGAUAAAAGCCAGCAUGGCCAAGAAAGUUUCGAAUUCCUUUUAUAUUCACAGGUGGAGGUAGUUGUUCAAUUACUUCAAUUUUAGCUUUGUCUACCUCAAUUCCUCUUUCAGACACUAGGUGUCCCAGCACUAUUCCUUCCCUAACCAUAAAAUGACAUUUUUCUCAAUUAAGAAUUAAGUGCUUUUCUUCACAUCUUUGCAAAACCUUGUCUAAGUUUUCAAGACAACUAUCAAAAGUUUUUCCAUAAACAGAGAAAUCAUCCAUGAGAACUUCCAUAAUCUCUUCAAUCAUAUCGGAAAAUAUAGACAUCAUGCAUCUUUGAAAAGAAGCUGGUGCAUUACAUAACCCAAAAGACAUUCUACGGUAAGCAUAAGUUCCAUAUGGGCAUGUAAAAGUGGUUUUGCUUUGAUCAUCGGGAUGGAUCGGAAUCUGAUGAUACCCUGAAUAUCCAUCUAAGAAACAGAAAAACGAAUGGUUUGCUAACCGCUCUAGCAUCUCAUCUAUAAAAGGUAAAGGAAAGUGAUCUUUUCUCGUGGCUUUGUUUAGUUUUCUAUAGUCUAUGCACAUCCGCCAUCCUAUGACGGUGCGUUGCGGAAUUAGCUCGUUCUUUUCAUUCAUAAUAACAGUCAUGCCUCCCUUUUUAGGCACAACUUGCACUGGGCUUACCCACUCACUGUGCGGCACAGGAUAUAUAAUCCCUGCAUGCAGUAACUUUAUAACUUCCUUUUUAACUACCUCUCUCAUAGUGUUAUUAAGUCUACGUUGGGGUUCUCGAGAGGGUGAAACAGAAGGAUCUGUUGGAAUACGAUGGGUACAAAUCAUAGGACUGAUUCCUGUAAGAUCUUGGAGUGAGUAGCCGAACACUGAGUGAUGUUUCUCAAGAAUGGUCAUUAAUCGCAGAGUUUGAUCCUGAGUGAGUUUAUCGCUAAUGAUCACAGGGAACUCUGGAUUAUUGUUUAGGAAAGCAUAUAUAAGACCGGGUGGUAAAGUUUUAAGCUCUAUGGGGGGUCUAGGUGCUUCUGCAAACUCAUCUAAGGGUUCAGGCUCAGAAGGUUCGGCUUCUUCUUCUAUGAAGAAAGGAGUUUCGUCUUCUAAGUCUGGUUCAUCUAAAAGCUCUAGAGAUGCAGCCUUUACCUCCUCCAUAGGAUCAGGCAAAAGAUAUGAUUCGGCCUUAUUGUUUAAGGAGUGUGAAAUUGUUAUUGGGAAUUUAAAAGUUUUUCCAAAAGAAAUGUGUAGCUUUCCAGUAUGACCUUCAUAAAGGAGUCUUCUAAAAGGUUGUCCUAUCAACAGGUCGAAGUCCCAUGUAUCAAAGAUAUAGAAGUUCAAAUGAACCAUGGAGCCUUCUACCGUAAGAGGUAGGACAUUAAUAAUUCCAAGACUGGGGACUAAUCGUCCCGAAGAUUCCUUUAUGACCUUUGUUGUGGGGGUUAAGGCAAGAUUUUUAAAUAGUUUAAGUGCAAAAGAUUCAGACAUGAUGUUGAUCCCCACAACAGGAUUAUAUAGAGCAUUAAAUCGAUCAGAAUUAUAAGCACAGCGUAUAGUUAUAGAGGGUGUGUCCAAACGGAUCACAUCAGAGGAAAGCUCUGAUUCCUCCAACCAUUCGCUACUCAUUACUGAGAUAAGCUCUCUUAAUUGUUGUUCACUUGGCAAAUAAAUGCUCAACUGGCCGUUUUGGGGUUUGUCAAUAGAAUGAUAGUUUAAAAUGUUUCCAAAAUUGGCAAAAAGAUCGGAUUCUAUAUCCAACAUGAAGUCCGGUGGUGGAAUUUCUUCCUCUUGUGGCUCAGAACUUGGGAUAGCUAAAGUAGAUGAAGAAUUUGGCAGAGUGUCUACUUCGGCUUCGUAGGUUUCAUCAUGAAGGGUAUUAUCCAUCUCAGCUUCUAGGAUUCUAUCUAGGAUCACUCUAGCUUCAUCAGUAGGGAUGCGAAAGAAAGAACCUCUAGACAUUGUGUGUAGCAUUUGUUUGUGAUUUUUCUGAAGACCUCGAAAAAAGUGAAAUAAAAGAACAGGGUCUUCAAGAUUAAGGUUUGGACCAGAUUCUAAAAGAUCAGAAAAACGUUUCUAGGAUUUUCCCAAAGUUUCAUUAUCUUUUUGUUUAAAAGAUAGGACUUCGAGUCUAAGGUUGGCUAUACGGUCAAGGGAAUAGAAAUCCAGACAAAAGUUGGCUCGUAAAACUCCCCAUUCACCUUGUUGUUGACUUACCUUCUGACUGUACCAUUGUCUAGCUUCUCCCCUUAAAGAAAAAGGAAAAAGCUUCCAACGUAAAGUUUUAUCAGAAAUGCCUUCAAUGCGAAGACAAUCACAUGUUUGCUCAAAAUCUCUAAUAUGAAGGUAAGGGUUUUCGUCUUCCAUUCCCAAAAAAGAUAGGUUUUGAAUCAUGGCAAUCAACCUAGAACUUAACUUAUACUGGGAUGUUUGGAUAGGCUGUGAUGAUUCCCAUGGUAAAAGGUCAGUUACUGAAGGGAUUGCAGACUCAUGGAUCGAUUUAGAAUUUUGGUUUUCCAUAAGGUAAGAGUAAAGAAAAUAAAUAAAGAAUAUAAAAGAUAAGAAAAGAUAAAAGUAUAGAUACAAGCUAGUAGUAAGACUCAAGGUUAUCUCAGCAAUCGUCUUUCUCCCCGGCAACGGCGCCAGAAAUGCUUGUUGAUAUUUGGGAAUGCAAUAAGGAAUUGAUCCGCAAGCGCACGGAUAUCGGUGAGCACUUCACCCAGGAGGUUAUCCAGAGUAUCGUAUUUAUUUUUUUACCACUAGGAGAAAGAGUGCAUCUGACUAACCGGUCUAUUACUACUAACCCUUUAGGCACAAAGAAUGUCUCUCGAUGUGAGUGAUAAAUAGAGAAGACUGCAACCGUAGUCUCCUUCUAACCUUGGUAAGGAUGAUUUACUGUUCUAUUGGGGAGGCUAACGGAAUCUAGACACCACAAAGGAUGUUCAACCCGCACCUAUAAACCCUAUCCUUCCUGCUAACGAGAUAUGGUCUUCAAAGGUAACUCGGAAUUGUCACGUUCCUCACUACUACCACGGUCCAGCUAGUUAGGGAAUAUCUAUGAGUACCCCAGCCUAAACACCAAGUUUACGCCAGUAAUGAUUACUCUAAACUCUACACGAAGAGAUUAAAGUAAACUCAUAAACCAUAAGAACAAUAAAACAAGAACUUACUAGAAUUUAGAAGUCGAAAUACUGAAGAAUCCUAGGAGCAAGCUUCGGGUUAGGAGAACUUGAUCCCACAGGUACAAGCUUGGAGUAGACACCGACAGGCCGGGCUUCCUCCAAUCUACACCUCCACUCUAUCUCUCUCAAUCUAGUAGAAACUAGAAGAUCUAUUUCUACUUUACAUUGGUUGCUAAGCCUAAAAAGAAAUAUUAAUAAGAGAAGAGGUUUUCCUUCGAGGGCACCCCUCAAUCUCUAUGAUAAUUUCUUCAUGUCUUCUCCAGGGGCCAGGGGGUCUCCUUAUAUAGUCCUCCUCCUCUAUGCAUUUUUGGGUCGGUAGGCGAGGUGGUACUAUGUUUUUCUUGAUCCAAUAGGUCGGUGGAACAUCACGUGCGAAGAGAGUCCCGAACUGGAUCCAGCAGGGGGCGGGCGCCCAGGUCACCAGGGCGGGCGCCCUGGGCCUGGCCCCUUUCGGCCUCUGCCUUCUUCCCGUGGCUUCUGGAGUCUUCUAGAUGGUAGAAAAUCGCGCGGUGCGUUGAUAUCUCUAUGUAAUCCCGACAUGUAGGCCUUUCUUCCUUAUUUUCUGAUAACCCCCUGCAGAAACAGAUAAACAACAAAACUCGUGGAAUUCUGUCAGAUCAAACCCUAAUUCUAGGUGUUGCUUGUAUAUUGGUCCUUUCCCUUGUUUAUUUGAUAAUUAAAAUUGAUACUUAAGAACCGUCAACACAAACUUCAAUGGUUCAAUAAUAGUGGUAAGACUAAAGUAAAUAAAUCAGUUUGCAUUAGCUUUUUCACAGGCAUUUAUCAUGAUACUGUUGAUUUUGAUGUUGUACCUAUGCAAGCUUGUUCAAUUUUAUUAGGACGUCCAUGAGAAUUUGAUAAUGAUGCUUUACACCUUGGUAGAACUGAUACAUAUACUCUCAUGCAUAAGGACAAGAACAUUACUUUGCUGCCUUUGUCACCUAUGAAUAUUGUUAAACAUGCUAAAGAGAUUAACAAUAAACCUCCAAUAGACAUUGAUAAAAUUAAUGGGAUUAAGUUACAAGGAGGUGCUUUACUUUGCUACAACUUCUGCUACUACUAAGUUAUGUGAUAAUCCAGAUGCACCAUGUUAUACUAUGUUUUGUCAAACUAUUAUGUCUUGUGCAUUGCCUGUUGUUACUAACCUUUUGCAGGAGUUCAUUGAUGGAGAAGAGUCGAGGACGACUCCGAUUCUAGGAGGAGGGGAUGAUGAGGACAUAACCAAGAUGGAGUCGAGGACGACUCCAAUUCAAGAAGGGGAGGAUGAUGAGGACAUCGCCACGCUGGGCACAUCGACACCAUUGUCUUUCUCAAGUUGCAAUUCAUCUCCAACUUAGCUACCACGUCACUCUUGGAUUCAGCAGACACGUCGUUAGUGUUUCUAUCAUAACUUCUUCAUACGGCAUCAAAACGGGGUGAUCUUGGACUCGUUGGAAAGAGGACGACACUGCCGUCGUUUUGGAUCUGGUCCCAGCUCCAGAUCAUUCAUUGAUUAAUCUGUAUGACCAUGAUAAGUUGUUGCAUCACCUAUUUUGAGCCAACUUGGCCAUGUAUCGAGUCGGGCCUUAAGCCCAAGUUGUGGGCGUCUCUCCCUGGUCGCCUCCAAACCUAGGACGCCUCUCUUUUAUAUUUCAUGCAACCACCAUUGUUUAGACACAAGUUUUGAUUAGAGUUUAGUUUUCCACCGAGAAACUGAAUCGAUCAUUGUAACUGUGGUGUCAAAUUCUUUUACAGUGAUCCAGGGCUCCCGUUCUUGAUCUCCUCCACUGUGUCGAUUAGUCCUUUGGAACCGAGUUCUUGAACCCUCUUUGAUAUUCACAUCAACUCAUAUUUGCAAUUUCAAAUUGUGUGUUUAUAUUUUCUUGCUUAUGUUCUUCGAUUCACUUGCAGAAACAGUCUUUUUGGUGAGGUCAAUCAAGUUGUGUUUGGUUGAUAACCAACGGAGCAGUGGUGUAACGGUUGCAGGAUUCGAAUCGUGUCUGAUUUAAAGCCGGAUCGGUAACAAGCACACCAGCAGCUGGGCUGAAGGGUGACCAGCGGUGCGGGAGUGGUGAAUUUUCUUUUGUAAAUUUGAUGUCGGUCUCUAUAAUCUGAAUAACACAUGCAAAAUUUUUUACCAGCUCUGUAGAUCUAAGGUUCGCCUCUCUAAUGUGAACAACAUGGACAUAAGUUUUUACCGCCUCUGUAAAAUGUGAUUAGCAGAGACCCUCAACUAGAGGCAGAGGUACUCCUUGAUCUAGAGAUGAGUUUUGUCCGCCUUGUAACAGUGAGAUGACAAAAAAAUCAAAUUGUGGGCCUUUUUAGCUUUAUUAGGAAGAUACUACAUAGGAUAAAUUAAGUCCCCUACUUACUUAUUUUGUUAAAUUGUUAAACCAGUCUUAAUGAACAAUGUCACUGCACGGUUUCACAUACCAACACGUCAUCAAGAUUGAAAUGAAACCAUCUAUGAGAUAAUCCCAGCAAUGAAGCAUUUCACUUUGUUGUUUCCAAGGCUAAGCAAAGCAUUUAAUUGCUGCAAAAUGAUUGGAUCACAUGCAAGAUGCUGAAAUAAUUUGACCCUCAGUGGGGAUUUCAUCCAGUUUCACUGCGUGGGAAACAACGCCCGCGGAGUUUCACUGAAACUACUUCCUUCUUUCUCCUCUUCGUUUCAUGCAAAAAAUAUAGUUUUGUUGACAUGGCGCUCUAAUAAAUGUGCUUGAUAUUCUAGUGAAACCCCCACUGAGACUGGUCUUGGGUCAGUGAUUUAGUAAGUGAAUUCUAUAAAGUUCUUGGAGAUUCUCUCGAUCAAAUACAAAACUAUUACAAAGCUUUUAAAAACAAAUUAGUGAGUUGUUUCGAGGAAUUGUUGGAGACACUCUAAUAUUAGAAGCAGACACAUGCUAUGCUGCCAGUUCUAAACCAAAGCAUGCGGUCCACAGGGUUCUGUAUAUAUAAUAAUAGUGGUGCUAUGUAAUGAUGGCCCUGCCAAGUGCUGACCCAGCGGCACCUCACUCGUCGAUAAACUAUGGUGAUGAGCCAGAUUAAACUAACCUCAAUCAUGUCAGUAGCUAGCAUUAGAAUAAUAAUAAAGCAGCACCUGAUGCCAGCUGUAGAAAAAGCAGAUUAUUAUAUAUAUUAUAUAAAAGCACAAUUUGGCAUGGAAUGCAACGCAAGUGGGCGCGUACAGACGACGAUGGCCCUCACAUGCAUAUGCAUGCGCUCGCAAAGCUAGCUCGAUCGUGGUGGCAGCGGCAAGGCAACCAAUGGAGCCGUCCAAGAUCUCGAAACAACACGUUAAGAGACGAGGGAAACGUCGUCUUAUACCAGAAGACUGUUCGCUUAUUAAAAAAACAUAAUUACAAAUUCUUAUUUACUUAUAAGAGAAAAACACUGAUAAGAUAAAAAAAAGUACUAUAACAAACGAACGGAACGUUCUGCGAGUCCGUCUCUGUGCGUAGGCCGAAGGGUGCUGCGGAUUGAGCAGUGUCCAGUGUGCGUGACCGCCAUGGCGCGCGCUUUUGCAUUGGUCCGCACACGUGUGCGCGUCAGCUCCUUGUCCCGCGGCGAAACCUUUGCAUGCCCGGCCCGGCCGCCGCCGCCUCCACAUCCAAAUAUUCUUUCACCUCGAAUGCCCAAAAAAAGGAACACGCACAAAGCAUGUAGCGACGCCCUUCUUUUAGUGUCAUGCACGGACCAAGAAUUCAUAUACCGCUGCUCUACACAAUAUCAUCCUUAUUAAGGCCUUGUUUAGUUGUAAAAUUUUCCAGAUUCUCCAUUACAUGGCAUAUGUAUGGAAUAUCAAAUAUAGAUAAAAGAAAUAAUUAAUUGAAUAAUUUGUCUAUAAUUUGUAGGAUAAAUAUUUUGAGCCUAAUUAGUUCAUGAUUAGACAAUAUUUAACGAAAGUACUUGUUGACGGCGCUGUUUUUGGACGCGUACCUAGGGAUCGGUAAAGAAUAGAUUGACAGAAGGAACAACGGUAACUGGUCUACAGAGAAGUUGUCGAUGAGGGUGAUUGCCGAUGAAGAGACAGCUGAAUGUGACUAAGUCUAGAAGUGGUGACGCGUUCGUGCCGAUGGUCAGCGUUAGUCUUUGCCGAUGACUAUGAUAAGAAGUCUGCCGAUGACUCGGAAGGAGAACGUGGGGGUUGCCGAUUAACCUGUGGUGGUGUCCCGGUCUGUUACGGGAGGAUAGUUUUAUGUUUUCCAUAGAUAUUUAAAUUCGUUUUGUAUACGGAUUCCGUUUAAUUUGGAGUUCGAGUCCUAGUCGUGUCUGAUUGUAGCUCUUUGAGCAGGGUAUAAAUGUAGACCCUAAGGCCUUGUAAUGAGACAUCUAUCAAUCAAUCAAACACAAGUUUUUACUCAUAUUCCAGUACCUACUUUUUCGACGACUUCGUCAUAUUUUUUCCUUUUAUUACGAGUUCUUAGGAGUUCGUCGACUUAAGCUCGGCGUAUUCUCGAGUUCCGCGUGAAUACCUCUUGGCCGUGACAUCCGGGCGCAUCGCUGUUGUCGGGACCAAAGUAUUCAAGUUAUCACCUUUGUCGAUAGUAAGGUCAAAUCGGCUUGCACGCCUUAACGUUUGAAUCGCGUAUUAGCCCUUUGUGUUUGCAGAUCAACUUUUGCACCAACACAUCUUUUGGCGCGCCCGGUGGGACCCUGAUUCAAGACCAAGAUCGACAUGGCGACUAGCGAUUUCGACUUGGAGAACGUCAUCCCCGUGACGGAAGCAAAGAAAAAAAUAGCGGGCUAUAGCGGCGCUAUAGCGGCGCUAUAGCUGCUGAACAGACUUGCCGCUAAGCUAUUUGCAUUUUUUCCGCUAUCACAACUUCCACCGCUAUUACGCGCUAUAGUGCCGCUAAGUUGCAUUUGUUACAACAAAUUUCACCGCUAUUACGCGCUAUAGUGCCGCUAUGAUAAAUCUUCUCAGUUUGACUCUCAAAACUCCAUCUUAGACUAGAUUAUCAUUUAUUUCUUUACUACUAAUUUAAUAUUUUGAAUAAUGAAACUUUCAUGAAACAUGUUGUAAUGCAAUAUUGGUAUUUUGUAAUGUUACCUAGACUUAUGAAAACAUAUUUUUAUACAUCAAAUUCAUAUUUACCAUGUCUUUUUAAUCAAUUACUCGUGUUUUUCAUGUAUUUUUAUAAAAAACGCUAUCUGUCAUAGCGCCGCUAUAGCACUGCUAUAGCUGCAUAGCUUCUGAAAAAAAGUUGCCGCUAUUUUCAAUAGCCUGCUAUUUUAAACUUUGGACGGAAGCCAAUCUCAGAGAUGAGCAGAAGCAAGCUAUCGCAAAAACCAUAGAGGACUACAAGCAGCAAUGUUUGAAAUCCUUCAGUAUCAACAGGAGUGGCGAAGUAAUCCAGAAAGAAGCAUUGCCGGCACCUCGGCAGGUUACUUUUGAAGCCAACUCUGGUAAACUUUAAGAUAUGGUUGAUAGUGCUAUUAAUCGUGCCUUGAUCAAUCAAGCUGGUGUGCUGUCCAAUACGGUUUUUAAUGCCGUGGCUAGAACUUUCAAAGAAGGACAAUUGCCACCAAAUUAUGUGGGCUUUGUCUAUCAUCAGCCGGGAUAACCAGUAGUCACAGCUCCAUCGGCUGUUACAGCCGCUGCAGGCACAGAAACUGCCGUUCCUCCAAGUAUGUUGGGAGUCACUAAUGCACAGACCACACCGAUGACAACCAAUCCAUCGACAUCAGAUGAGUCAAUCAAGCUAGCCAUAGAUUUAUUGGCAUCGGCAAUGUCGGGAUCUGUUCCCCUAACUGGUGGGGUUUUGGUAUGCCCCAGAGUUCAUGUUGAAGACACCCGGCACAUCUCAGACGGCUGAUAUGAGAGGCAAAGCUCCUAUGACAUCGGCACCUCCAAAUAUACCGAUGAAUCAGAGUCCCCAGUAUACUACAACUACUACUGCAAGACCUUACACGGGGAAUUCUCAAGCUCCCACAUUCCAGAUGCCUAACGCAUCGGCAGAUUCAAUGCCGACGCAGCAGAGGUUCAUGACUCAACCAAGGUAUGUCAAAUCAAUGAUGAUGCCCAAUUACCAGUCAUCGGCAGGGCUUAUGCCGAUGAAUCCUAAUAAUGGAUGGACAGGACAGCAAGUCUUUCUACAGAUGCCUCAACAGAAUCAUCAGGCUACAGGGUUCUAACAAGGCCAGAUCCAACCUGGGUUCCAGAAUCAAGGGUUGGCCAACCAGCCGAUGAAUCUUGGUCAAUAGUUUGGUGGUCAGACGAUCAACCCGAUGUUCCAUGCAGAUCGUGCGCCUCAGCGACACGUGGAGGUUUAUCAGCAGGCACCAGAUCCACAACCACCUCAUCGGCAAGAUGUCGAUGCUUAUUGGACCGAUAAGAUUGCUGAAGUAAUGAGAGACCAGUUUGGGAUAAAACCCAAAGUCAAUACUUACUCUUAUCGGACACCGUAUCCUCCUGCAUAUGAUUUAAUCCCACUUCUAAAUCGGUACAAGGUACCCGAUUUUACUAAGUUUUUUGGACAGGAUGACAUGUCAACUAUGGAGCAUGUCAAUAGGUUCAUCAUCCAAUGUGGCGAGGCUGCUAACAGAGACGAAUUGAGGGUUCGCUUGUUCUCGUCAUCCUUGUCUGGAUCGGCUUUCACCUAGUUUAUUUCAUUGCCUCCUAACUCAGUGAUUACUUGGGCCGAUCUAGAGAAGCAAUUCCAUAAAUACUUCUUUUCUGGAGUCCAUGAGAAGAAGAUCACCGAUUUGGUCAAAUUGAAGCAAUGCAAUGAUGAAUCGGUUGAAAGUUUUGUGCAGGGAUUGUAGGAGGUCAAGAACAAAUGCUAUAGUCUGGUUUUGGACGAUCGGCAACUAGCCGAUUUGGCUUUCCAAGGUUUGUUGCCACACGUCAGGGACAAGUAUGCCUCUCAAGAGUUCAAAAGCUUAAGUCAUUUGGUGCAGAGAAUUUCUGAUCAGGAUAUCAGACCUUUUGAGCUCAAGAGAGCAUGGAACAAAAAGGUGUCAUUUGUUGAUGAAGCGACAAGCUCGGAUUCUGAUGAGGAGCCGGUCAUCAGUUUGGCAGAGUGGGUAAAAAACAAGAAGCCGAUGUCUUACCCUUUUGGACAUAAAGAGCCGGAGAAGUUCGCAUUUGAUAUUACUAAAGCCGAUAGAAUAUUUGACUUUCUACUUCAGGAAGGCCAGAUCAAGUUGUCGCCCAAUCAUGUGAUUCCAUCGGCUGAAGAGUUAAAGAAGAUGAAAUAUUGCAAGUGGCACAAUGCAACUUCUCACAGUACCAAUGAGUGCAAAGUUUUUAGGCAACAGUUGCAAUCGGCUAUAGAAUCUGGGAGAAUCAAGUUUGACAAUUCCAAAACUCAGAAGCCGAUAAAAAUUGAUCAACAUCCUUUCCCAACAAAUAUGCUGGAUGCUAAGGGGAAAGCCAAGGUCUUGACGUCAGAAGUAGCUGAAAGAAGUGCAUCGGUGGAUCCUCAGCAUUAGAUCAAUACUACCGAUGCGAAAGGAAAAGGUUUGAUCCAAGAAGGAAAUAGCUCAGGAAGGCCUCCCCGAUCUGGUAUUGUUAUAACUCAUAGAAGGCCUCGGGAAACUUGGCAGCAACGUGAAGAUCGGUAUCGGCGCCAGCAAGAAGACUAUCAUCGGGAAGAAGAAAGACGCCGACAAGAGUGGAAUUGGCACAGGGAUCACUGGAACUGCCCGUUCUUUAUCCAUUGCUGGGAGCAGAAUAUUAAAUUACCCACUGUUAGAGAUUGCCCGGAGUGCAAUGGUUAUGAUCGGUAUGACAGAUCAGAUCGGUGCUAUCAUGAUGAUGAUCGGCAGCUUAAUGGGCUGAUUAGGGGGAGAGCGUCAGUUCAUGAUCGGCUGGGGGCAGACUCAGCGUACAUGAUAGGCUUGGCGACCGUGUCCAAUAUUUUCCCAGGAACCAGGAAGAGCUUGAAGAAAUGGCUAAUGCACGAGUUCCUGACGAGUUCAUAUUUUGCAGGGACGCUAAUACUCAUCGGAUGGAAUCAAGAGAACAUCGUCGUCCAUCGGCAAGGCAGUCACCACUUCCUCCAUGGUGUUUAGAGGGGUUGACUAAGACACAUAAAAGGAGACUGCAGCGCGAAAGACGAGAAGAACUAAGCAAGGGCGAGAAAUCUGGUCAGUCUGGGGAUCAGCAACAACUGGAUCCUAAGGGGAAAGGGCCAUCGACAGAUGUUAACAUGGUAUUUAUGUUGCCAAUGGAGUUCCUCGCGCCAUCCAGUGAUGAUGAAGAGUUGGAGUUUUCCGACCAAAUAGCUCAGUUGGCUCUGGAUCCGAUGACAGCUAUCUUUGAAAAGCCUGCCGACAAUGAAAGGCAGCAUCUUAAAGCCCUGUUUGUCAAAGGAAGAGUUGAUGAUCAGCCGAUGACCAAGAUAUUGAUUGAUGGUGGAGCUGCUAUCAACAUCAUGCCAUAUGCAGUCUAUCGGAAGCUUGGAAAAGGAGAUCAAGAUCUGACCAAGACCGAUAUGAUGCUAAAAGACUUUGAGGGAAAUGUAUCUCCGGUUAAGGGAGCAGUCUGUGUCGAGUUGACCAUCGGCAGCAAAACCUUGCCAACAACUUUCUUUGUGAUCGGUGGAAAAAGGUGCUUAUAAUCUGCUGCUAGGGAGAGACUGGAUUCAUGUCAAUUGUUGCAUUCCAUCAAUAAUGCACCAAUGCUUGGUCCAAUGGGUAGGUGACAAGAUUGAGAUUGUCCCGGGAGAUUCUUCCUAUGUUAUUGCAUCGGCAAAAGCGGACACUUAUGAAAGGACUAGGUGCAUCUCGGGAGAGAUUUGGGAGAAGAAUUUCCUCAAAGUUGCCGAUUAUAAAAUUCCACUGAUCCAAGCAGUCGGUUCUGAUGAGGAGUUUUAAUGGAUAGGUUCGCCGAUGAUGAAAAAUUAGGCCAGGGAUUCACAUCGGCCGAUGAUUUAGUAGAGGUAGAUAUAGGUAGUGGUGAUAAACCUAAACCUACUUUAAUUAGUGCUAAGUUAAAUUCUAAGUAUAAGCAGCAGUUAACUGAUUUGUUAAAGGAAUAUAAAGAUUGCUUUGCUUGGGAUUAUACUGAGAUGCCUGGUUUGGACCGAUCGAUUGUUGAACAUCGGUUGCCUAUCAAAUCUGGAUUUCGGCCACAUCAACAGCCAGCUCGCCGAUGUAAUCCUAAUAUUCUUCCUAAUAUCAAGGCCAAAAUAACUAAACUUAUCGAGGCUAGAUUUAUUCGGCAGUGUCGGUAUGCCGAGUGGAUUUCCAAUGUUGUUCCAGUCUACAAGAAAAAUGGGAAGCUUCGGGUUUGCAUUGAUUUCAGGAAUCUCAAUAGAGCUACACCGUUGGAUGGCUAUCCAAUGCCAGUUGCCGAUCUGCUAGUUGAUGCUGUGGCUGGGCAUCGGAUCAUCAGCUUUAAGGAUGGCAAUGCAGGGUACAAUCAGAUAUUCAUGGCUGAAGAAGAUAUUCCAAAGACUGCAUUUAGAUGUCCUGGUCAUGUUGGGUUGUUUGAAUGGAUAGUCAUGACCUUUGGCUUGAAAAAUGCUGGUGCUACUUAUCAAAGGGCUAUGAAUUUUAUUUUUCAUGAGUUCAUCGGCAAGCUGGUGGAAAUUUAUAUUGAUGAUGUGGUGGUUAAGUCUGAAGAUUUCACAAAGCAUCUUACCGAUUUACGAAAAGUGUUGGAAUGCACAAGGAAGCAUGGUUUGAAGAUGAAUCCCAAUAAGUGUGCAUUUGGUGUAUCGGCAGGACAAUUCAUUGGUUUCAUGGUGCAUCAAAGGGGAAUUGAAAUUAGUAGGAGAUCCAUUGAUGCUAUCAACAAAAUAGUUGCUCCUACCAACAAAACUGAGCUCCAGUCUUUGAUCGGCAAGGUAAAUUUUAUCAGGAGGUUUAUAUCUAAUUUGUCUGGUAAAAUUCGUGCUUUCAGUCCUCUGCUUAAAUUGAAAGCCGAUCAAGAAUUCAUAUGGCGGAAAGAGCAACAGUUGGCUUUAGAUGAAAUCAAGAACUAUUUGAUAAAUCCUCCAGUUCUGAUUCCACCUCAGCAAGGAAAGCCCUUCAAAUUAUAUUUAUCUACCGAUGGGAUGGUCAUCGGUUCAGCUUUGAUUCAAGAAUUUGAAGGGAAGGAGCGUAUAAUUUACUAUUUAAGCAGAAGAUUGGUUGAUGCUGAAACUAGGUAUUCGGCCAUUGAAAAGUUAUGCUUAUGCCUAUAUUUCUCAUGUAUUAAGUUGAGGCAUUAUUUGUUAUCGGCUGAAUGCACUGUCAUAUGCAAAGAUGACGUGGUCCGAUAUAUGCUGUCUAUGCCAAUUAUGAGUGGUAGGAUCGGUAAGUGGAUUUUGGCACUGUCGGAAUUUGAUCUGCGUUACGAAUCGGCUAAAGCAGUUAAAGGACAGAUUAUGGCCGAUCUCGUGACCCAACAUUACGGUGCAGUGGAAGCUUUGGAAAUUGUACCUUGGACGCUCUUCUUUGAUGGAUCCACUUGUGACCGGGGGGCAGGAAUCGGCAUAGUGUUAAUUUCCCCUCGGGGAAGGAAAUAUGAGUUCUCCUUGCCGAUUGUUGCCACGUCAAUGAAUAAUCAAGCCGAAUAUCAAGCUUUGAUAAAGGGGUUGGAAUUGUUAAGAGAAGUUCAUGCUGAUGCUGUUGAAGUCUUCGGGGAUUCUAUGCUGGUUAUAAAUCAAUUGGCUGGAAACUAUGAAUGCCGAAGCGAAGUCUUGAUAACUUAUUACGAAAGGAGUAUGCAAUUAUUAAGGGAAUUCAGAGAUUUCCAAUUAAAGCAUAUUCCUCGGUUACAUAAUGAGGAAGCUAAUCGGUUGGCUCAGCAUGCUUCAGGGUAUCAACCUAUGGUUAACAUGUUAUCGGCAAUCGGUGCCGAUGAUUGGAGGAAAGAAAUCGUUGGUUAUUUAAAGGAUCCAUCCAAGAAAGUUGAGAGACGUGUUCGAUUUUAAGCUACCAAGUAUGUGCUCCUCGAGGAUGAAUUAUACUACCGAACAAUCGAUGGGGUUCUUCUCAGAUGCUUGAGUGAUGAUGAAGCUAGGAGUUUGAUGGGUGAUUCAUGGAGUGUGUGGAGCACAUCAAUCGGCUUUCAAGAUGAAAUGGAUGAUUAGGAGGAAUGGGUAUUAUUGGCCAACCAUACUUGAAGAUUGCUUUAAAUAUUUCAAGGGGUGUCAAGGAUGUGAAAAAUUUGGCAAUGUUCAAAGGGCACCCGCAUCGGCCAUGAAUCCCAUUAUUAAACCGUGGCCGUUUCGAGGAUGGGCUAUUGACUUAAUCGGCCAGAUUUAUCCACCAUCUAGUAAAGGACAUAAGUUUAUCUUGGUUGCCACCGAUUAUUUCACCAAGUGGGUUGAAGCUAUUCCUUUGAAGAAGGUCACAUCGGCCAACAUGAUUGACUUUGUGAAAGAGCAUAUUGUUUACCGAUUUGGUAUUCCUCAAACAAUUACUACCGAUCAGGGUACUAUGUUUACGUCGGGGGAGUUUGAUGAGUUCGCAAUCGGUAUGGGAAUUAAGGUGUUGAAUUCUUCUCCUUAUUAUGCUCAAGCUAAUGGACAGGCCGAAGCAUCUAACAAAGGAAUUAUCAAACUUAUUAAACGGAAGAUUGAAGAAAAUCUUAGGAGAUGGCAUACGUUGUUGAAUGAAGCUUUAUGGUCAUAUCGGAUGGCUUGUCAUGGGUCGAUCAAAGGUUCACCUUAUCAGUUGGUGUAUGGACAUGAUGCAGUGCUACCUUGGGAGGUUAAGACUGGAUCUAGGCGACUAUCUUUUCAGGAUGAGUUGACUGCCGAUGAUUAUGCUACAUUGAUGACAGAUGAAUUGGAUGAUUUAGCAGGGCACCGGUUGAGAGCUUUGAUAAGCAUAGAAGAAAAUAAGAAAAGAGUUGCCAGAUGGUAUAAUAAGAAGGUAAAGGACAAAGGGUUUGCCGAUGGAGACUUAGUAUGGAAACUAAUCUUACCGAUCCGGACUAAAAGUUCAAAGUUUGGGAAGUGGUCUCCCAAUUGGGAAGGUCCCUAUCGGAUAAAUCGAUCUACUCCUGGCAACGCCUAUAUCUUAGAAACUCUCGAAGGAGUUGAAUUUCCCAGAGCAUUGAACGGCAAAUACUUAAAGAGAUAUUACCCCAGCAUAUGGGUCGAUGCAUAAAAGUUUAAGCACCGAUAACAUUCCUAUCGGCUGGAUCAAACUGUAUCUGGGGCCGGACUUAGUGUUUUGAAAGGGUGCCGAUAACAAUCCUAUCGGCUAGACCAAAAUAGUCAGGAGUGUUUAAAAGAAAAGAGCUGAGCAUGUCGCUGAUGAAGGAUUCAUGUGUUCAGCAGGGCUUGGAUCGUCGUUAUGGCACGCAGACGAAUCUGGUUGGCUUCUUCUAUCUCUUUGAUGUCUUCAUCGAUAGAGCCUUCCAUCGGUUUCAGCUUCUUCAUCUGCAGUGCUUUACGGGCUUGGGUAUUCCGUUCUUGUUCAAGGGUCCUGAUCAUAUCAGGCUGGCUUUCGUCUUGUUGAGCUUGAGAUAGAGCUUCUUCUACCUUUUUGAGUUCUGCCAACAGGGAUCUCUUUGCCGAUAGAUCAGAGAUCUUUUGUUGCAGCACAUCUCUUGAGGAUUUCAUAAUGCCGAUACUCUUAUGUUUCUCAUCGGCAAGGAGCUUCACUUUCAUCAUUUCCUCUGAGAGCUGAGCGUGAGCAGCUCUAUCGGCAAGGCGCUGAGCAGCCCUUUGAUACUGCAGUUGACGACUCUCUAAGUGUGCAGCCUAAAAAAGAAUCUCCUCGAUAUCGGCAGGGAUUUGUCCUCUGAGGGCCUUGAACAGAGCUUUGGCUGGGUCAGAGUCAUUGACCAAUUGCGCUGUAUCUUGAUGAAGAAGGGCUGACAGAUCCUCCAGCUUUGCUCUGAUCUCUGCCGAUGAGAUUUCAAUUGCUCGAGAGGAACUUGCUUCCUUGCCUUCGUCCUCAGAGAUUUCAAUGGCGAAGGAGAACAAGCUGUCGGGAGAGUCCUGUUCCUGAGGAGAAAGAUAAAAUGAGUUAUUUCAUGAUCAAGCACUAGUAACGAUAAAAAUAGAGAUCAGGUAACUUACUUGUUUCAGAUGGAACUAGUUGAGGCCGAUGGAACUACAGGCUGGUCGGCUGGAGUUGCCGAUGAGACUAUGUCAGCUGAAAGAUUAACAGAGGUAAUUAUGAGACGGAAAAGUAGGUUCAUCGGCAAUGAUUUCAUAGAGAAUAUGUUACCUUGAGGGGGUACAGUGCUUGUCUGGAUUGAGGAAACUACCGAUGCUAUGAUUAAGCUUGCUGGAUCGGCAGUUUGCUCGUGCACGUCAGCCGAUGUGUCUUCUGGCUGAGGUUCCUCUGGCUGGAGUUCUUCUGUGUGGGGUUCUUCUUGUGGCUGAGGAGGAGAUGGUGCUUGUUGUGUCUGGACUUCUGGAGAAGAGAGGGAAGAUUCCACCGGGAUCGGUGACCUUGGAGGAGGAGAAGGUGUUGCUGUUCUCUGGCGCUUCGCUUGGGUUCUGGUACUCUUGGAGCUUUUUCUCUUUGGUUGGCUGGACUGGGGGGGCAUCGGCAGUCAUACCUCUAGUCUUUGCCGAUGUGCCAAUAUGCUGAUAUAACAGUAGAGUUUUAUGAGUACAAGUGUAACAAGUAUAAUAAUAGAAUCGGUUGAAAACUUUGAAAGACUACCUUGAAGGCUUGUGCUAAGGCAGUGGCGGCUACCGAUGGAGAUGUCUUCGUCCGCUUGGUGGUGACUUUCUUGAGGCGCACACCCCGAUGCAUUAUAGCAGCCAAGGUUGGAGCGUUGUUGCCGAUUAAAGAGAUCGGGCCCGAUGGGAGAAGCUCAAUCGGUUUGCCACCCCUGCUGACCAAUGGUGGCGUAUUAUCAACCUGUAUAUAACAAAGAGAGUAAGUUACCGAUGGAAAAUAAGAAUAAGAGGAUUGAAGCAUCGGUUUAAAGUACUUACAACAUUGUCAGGGACUUUGUAUUUGGGGUCGAUCAUACCACGGUAUGUGAGGGCCGAUCUGCAGAACAGAUGCUCCUUCCAUUCUUCCCACCACUGUUUGUAUGCCUGAGUAAUGAAGAGGGCCGGAAUCCAAUCUGAUAGAUCGGCAUCUGUAUCGGCGUUUGGUGGCAGUUGAGCUAUUCUGGUCCAUUCGAGAAGACUAGUGAUGGUUUCCCUUGGUUUUGUCACAUCGGCAUAACAAAGUGCAAUUGGCAGUUGACCGAAAGCUAGUUGACGAGCUAAUGCUGAUGGGUUGUAGAAUUCAUAGGUCUGGUUGGAGGCUUUCCCACUGCCAAAGAAGUUUACUGGUAUAGCUCUUGGAGUGAUAAUUGCCAUCAUCACAUCAUGGUCUUUAUUAAGAGCAUCGUCGAAGGGGUGAAAGGUCAGAGGAAAUCUGGUGUCUGGAUCCUCAUAAGGCAUCCAUGCUCGCUGUUCUUUGGUCAGACCCUCAUAAAGGGUUUGAAAAAAUCGGCUGACUUGAUCUUCAUUGCCUCCAGUGUCAGGCAAGACUAUGACAGCUUCACCAUAGUUUAAAGGGGGACGAGUUGCCGAUUCUUCUUCAUCCAAUUCAUGGUCCUAUGCUAUGUCUCUGGGGAAACGCUGUGCAAAGAGGUCGAACUCCAGACGCUUGUGCAUGUGGAGGCUGAGCCACAUGUUGAUGAACCACCAAGGACCCCCUAAGUUGCUGAUGGGUUGGCCGAGCAGAAGUUUCUUAGCUAUCUAGUGGAGGAGGUGAUAAGCAGAGCCGAGCAGGUAUCGGCCGAGAGGAAAUCGGCCACCAUUAGCUAAUCUCUCUACUGCCGAUAGGUAGACAGAGGUUGGUCCUGCCGAUCGACCGCAGAAUACAAAUUUGUCUAACCACAUGUUCAGGAAGGUGGUCUGUUCCUUUAUGUUGACAAGCCCUGUUCUACGGUACUUCUGAAUAUACCCAGACCAACCGCCGAUAGAGCGAGUUUCCACCUUAGCGCUAGGUUUGGAGUCAAAUAUGUGACUAUUAUCGGCAGUGGAUACAUCUAAGCUGGUGAGCAUAAGUACAUCGGCAAGUGUGGGAGAAGCGGGGUCAUGGCCGAAAACAAAAGCAUUGAGUGUGUCUGACCAGAAAUAUGAUGCAGCAAUCAACAGCGACUCGUUCCUAUCCAUAUCGGCAAGGGACAGUCUAAUGCACUGGUCCAGUUUUCGCUCGCCCCAUUGAACCUCAUUUGAAUGGCUGACUCUCAAGAACCAAUCUUUCCAUCCCUUGGUAGGACUGGGCCAGGAACGGAAGGCAUCUUUCCAUAGAUCUAGAGAAAAAUUUUCGGCUCUAAAAGGAAUUCUGUUUGUCUCUGCGUUUAUCAGAUCGAUGGGAUCUGGGUUCCCUAGCGGGCCGAGACAUUGGAGAUGUGGUUGAUCGGUAGGGAUGACAAUCUUAUUGGACAAAUCCUAGAAGUUGUUAAGGAUAAAAAGAAGAACAAAAGAAAAAAAGGGGAUGUUCAGUAAGAUGGAUUGCGGAUGAACAGUGGUAUGGUAAAAGUACAGGAGACAGGGUGGUAAACUAACCUCAGGAACAACGAAGUUGAUGGCCAUCUCCUCGCAGGAAAGAAGAUCGAAGGCUUUGGGGUUGGUGGAGAAAGGCCUUCGUUGGAGAUCUUGGAAACCUCGAGUGGUGCCGCCGUCGUGAAAGUGGGUUUUGGGCUGUAGAAUGACAAGAUGGAGAAGGAAUACCCGAGAGGGAAGUAUUUAUAGGACAAAACGGGUAGGGGCAAAUCUGAUUUAUCUCUUUGCCGCAUCCAUGAAAUCCGAGGGUGCUCAGAUGGAUAUGGUAACUGUUCGCACGAUAAUCAAGGGAUUUGCACAGGUGAUUUGACAGCAAGCGGUCGUGAUUUUGGAAAUAUUUCACUGUGCAAGAUCUCCUGGUCGGUCCAUCUGCAGCUCCCUCUAACGGUAAUAUUGCCGAUCGGCGAAUAAAAUGGGGAUGUCUAGUUUGGGAGGUUGAGGAAUUCGAGGAAUCUGCAGAAGAAUCGGGCCAUGGUUGUUCGACUUCAACGGUCGGUUGCCAAAUUGGGAGAGUUAAUUGCGGAAAGGCGUCAUUAUUGCAGAGAAUUUCGGAGCAUUAAUGAUUUUAUACUCCGAAAUUGGAGGGCAUGUGUUGACGCCGUUUUUGGACGCGUACCCAGGGAUCGGUAAAGAAUAGAUUGGCAGAAGGAACAACAGUAACUGGUCUACAGGGAAGUUGCCGAUGAGGGUGAUUGCCGAUGAAGAGACAGCUGAAUGUGACUAAGUCCAGAAGUGGUGACACGUUCGUGCCGAUGGUCAGCGUUAGUCUUUGCCGAUGGCUAUGAUAAGAAGUCUGCCGAUGACUCGGAAAGAGAACGUGGGGGUUGCCGAUUAACCUGUGGUGGUGUCCCGGUCUGUUACGGGAGGAUAGUUUUAUGUUUUCCAUAGAUAUUUAAAUUCGUUUUGUAUACGGAUUCCGUUUAAUUUAGAGUUCGAGUCCUAGUCGUGUCUGAUUGUAGCUCUUUGAGCAGGGUAUAAAUGUAGACCCUAGGGCCUUGUAAUGAGACAUCUAUCAAUCAAUCAAACACAAGUUUUUACUCAUAUUCCAGUACCUACUUUUUCGACGACUUCGUCAUAUUUUUUUCCUUUUAUUACGAGUUCUUAGGAGUUCGUCGACUUAAGCUCGGCGUAUUCUCGAGUUCCGCGUGAAUACCUCUUGGCCGUGACAUCCUUGUCGGGACCAAAGUAUUCGAGUUAUCACCUUUGCCGAUAGUAAGGUCAAAUCGGCUGGCACGUCUUAACGUUUGAAUCGGGUAUUAGCCCUUUGUGUUUGCAGAUCAACUUUCACAGCAACGAUACUAUAAUGUCUAUUUUGCAAAAAAAUUUGAAACUAAACAAGACCUUAAUGCUACGAUCUCCUCGCUGGAGAAGUUCAAGCCUUUAUUUAUCUCCUCCAACCUUCCCCGUCUUAAAUACAUACUCUUUCUGUCUUGCAAUAUAAUGCAAUGUUAGGGCCUUGUUUAGUUCUAAAAACUUUUAUAAAAUAGAUAUUGUAGCAUUUUUAUUUUUAUUUGAUAAAUAUUAUCUAAUUAUGUACUAACUAGGCUUAAAAGAUUCGUCUUGCAAACUUAGUUAUUAUUUUUAUCUCUGUUUAGUGCUUUAUACAUGUGCCGUAAGAUUCGAUAUGAUAAUGAAUUUGAUUUUUUUAAAAUUUUUUAGAAACUAAACAAGGCCUAGAGCAUCUCCAAUAUAUACUGUUAAGGCCGUGUUUGGAUGAUUGGAACGGUUCCCAUUCUAGUUAGAAUAUGAAGAAACGCUUCCAAACGCGAAAACCGAACGUAUCUGGCCUGAAACGUUUCCAAGCGUUCUGUGCUUUUUGCCUUUAGGGAGCGAAACGGCCUCGGGCUGGCUUUGAGUGGUUCUGUUUCUAAUUUCCCGUAUGCUGUAGUGAUCAGAUUUUUUUUCUUUUUCAUGCAACAAGUAAAAAAGUGUUGCAUUUAGGUUGUUAUGUGCCCACAAAAAAAAUCAAAAAAAUGAAGUAUACUUCUAUUUAUGUUUUUUAUAAAAAACAUUUAUUUGGGAAACAGAAUAAUCCAGGCUAAUAGCCAAAUGGUUUUAUAAAGUGAUUCUGAUUCAACACAUGAGACGUUUCUUAAGAGGAACUGAAUUAUUUCUAUAAAAAUCUGGAUCACAUCAAAUGAACACAAAUAUAGGAUGUAAAGAGCAUCUCCAAUAGUUUAAAAAAACAAUGGGUAAAUCAAAUGAUUUUUUGAAGCCACUAGAAAAAGGGAAAUUUUUUGUUUUCUCCAAUCAUUUUUAAUAUCUCGAUCAUGAAAGAUAUAAGGUAGAAUACUCAUUUAGGUUUCUCUACUAUCGUCUAGGGCUUGAUUUCAUCCUUAAACCUUUUAAAUUGGUAUUUUAAUCCUUGAAAUUUUCUUUCCGACUCAGUUUCAUCCUAAAACUAUCAAAUUGACCAUUUGAUUACUUAAACUCUAUAUUUUAGGUUAAAUUUCACCCAUAACUAUCAUAGUGUAUUUUAGUCCUUAAACUUUUCCUUUUCGGCUUAAAUUUGUCUAUUGCCCCAUGUGGAACGCUGUGUCAUCACGCCAGGUUAGCACCAGCACUUAUACUCGUGUUUUGAGAUGGGCAAUCAUGGUUAGCUACCACUGUUUGUGGCAUCGUCCUAACUAUGGAAUUAGAUACAUACUUUCAACAUUUAUAUCUUUAUUUUUAAAAUGAAUAUAAAUACUUUCAACAUCUUUAAAAUGAAUCUUCAAAUAUGAAUUAAUUUUUAGCUUAUGCUCCAAACAGAUCAUUUUUGUCCUCUAAAUACUUUUAAACCAACCACUAAUGAUGUUUUUAUUUUAAUACUAUUUUUCUGUCACCAACCACCAGUGCUAUUGGAGCUGGCUAGGUUGUGCGACGUUCCAUGUAGGAUGAGGGAAGAAGUUGAGCGAAAAAGAAAAAGUUUGAGGAUUCAAAUGAAUUUUGAUACUUUUCGGAUAAGAUUGAGACUAAAAUGCAAUAUUUGAGGAUUCAAACGUCUACUUGAUAACUCUAGGAUCCCAAAAAUAAAAUUGGAGAACUGAAAUGACCAUUUUGAAAGUUCAGAGGUGAAAUAAGCUUUGGACAAUAGUUAAGGGAUCAAAAGACUAUUCCGCUAAGAUAAAAUGUCAUUUUGCCUCAGGAAUAUCUCUAAAUCACCCUAUAUACUUUUAUACUUUCUCUCUCUCUCUUGUAAAUUUACAUUGGAUUCCUAUGCUUUCUCCUUAUUCUUCGACACAUCCUUCCCCCUCAAGAUUGCUCGAUUGGAUAUGUACGCAUUUCUCGUGAUUGGAUUGAUUUUUCCGCACACUGAUUCAGAUUUGAGAUAAGGGGUUAUUAAGAGAGGUAUUUUUUUAAUCUUGCAAACAAAAUCAAGAUUAUUAAUUUGCAUUCUUGAAAUUUGCUAAAAAUCUUAAAAAUUGCUCUCCAACAGUUUUACAUUUGACUUAUGCAUUUUAGCAAACUUGACAUUUGAUGGACCAAACUUGGCAUUUUUGCAUAGGCACAAUGGCUUGGCAAUUUUGAUAUCCCGAGAAUCUUGGACUCCUUGUCGUGCCCGUACUCCCCACGUCGCGGUAGUUUCCCGCGAGACGACUUCUCCCCGCGCGCGACUCUUUUCUUUCCCCCGCGCAUCGCCUCCUUUCUUCGCGCGCCUCUUUUCUUCGCGCGGAGACGAAGGAGAUCCAUCGCCGCCUCCUUUUCUUGCAGCGACGCAAGCUUACCUCGAGCAGAUGUUGCCGGCCUGGAUCAAGCAGCGGCCUCUUUUGGCGACCUCGAAACCCUCCUUGCGGAAGCCUUAGGACCUGGAUGCCGCGGUGGUACCUGGGACUGUUGCCUCGAUCGGAUCUCAACGACCUGGACCAAGCGGCGACGUGGACGUGCGGGAUGAACACGGUCGCGCGACGCACGAGAAUUGGCGGCGACGGGCGAAGGAAUUGCGCGUAAAAAAGAAAGCGCCCGCGCGACGCGCGAGAGAAUUUCCCGCGAAGAUGAAAGAUUCCCGGACAAAAAUAGUUAGGUCCACUAUUUUGAGAAAUGCCAAGUCAAAAAUGCCAAACACUUGGAGAUAAACUUAUUUUUCCUUUGGCAAAACGUUUAGGGACUUGGCAAAUUCCAGCAAAUGAUAAAUUUCAAUUGCAUAACUGUUGGAGAUGCUCUUAAAUAGGAAGAAUGUUGGAUUGGAACUUUGGAGGGUGAUGUUUGUUGCAUACGUCAAACCUUAAUUUUGACUCUAAAAGAUUAGAAUGGAAGGGAUGCUUAAAGGUAUCCAAAAUGGGAAUACAAAAAAGUAAAGUUAAGUUAUUUCAAGGACCAAGGAAUAGAAUGGCAAGCCUUUAUAAAAAGAAAGGUGAAUAUAAAAAGCAGUAUAGAAAACAGAACCAAAAUAAAUUAUAAAGCAGUGCAAAAAAGAGAGGAGAAAACGAAUUAGAAUAAGUAAAAGAGAAGAAUCCCAAGUACACAUUUUAGCUGCUGCCUGCACACCGCAUCGCAGAGGCGAGAGAGAGAGGAGAGAGAGAGAGAGAGGGCGCGCGCUGCGGCGGCGGCGGCACAGCAGGGGAAGCAUCAGACGCCGCAGAACCGCAGUAGAAGAGGAGGGAGACCAGGCCACCUAUAUCUAGCUCUCUCUUUCUAUCCAUCUUCUCUCUAUAUAUGCAGUUAUAAUAUUUGGCCAAUUAGGCAGAGAUUAGAGAGGGACUGGGGAGGGAAAUUUUGUACAGGGAAGAGAGAGAGAGAGGGUAGUUGAUGGGAAGGGUUUGAUGUGAUUGCGCUUUCUUUUCUCUUUGCUUCCUGGAUCCAACCGCCGCCGCCGCGUCCUCUCGUCGUUGUUUCCGUGUUCUUGGAUCGGAUGCCUUCAUCUGCCUAGGUACGUGCGCCGUUCCUUGCGUCGAGGGAUUCAUUUCUCGGAUGGGUUCGGGGUUGAUGGGUUCGUCGUGAGGGGCUUAUCAGAUCUCAGCUCCUUGAUCUGUUCUUCUUCCCGAUUUCUCGCUCAAUUCCUUUACCUCCUCCUGUUUUCUGCCCGCAGAUCGGAGCAAGAGCAAGGCGCGCGGUGUAAAUCCCGAGAGGAGGAAGAAGAGGAGGAGAGGGGAUCGAGGCCGCUCCGUCCCGUCUUGCUUGUUCUUGCCGCGUACGGUUCUUUCAAGAACCCGCGGCGGGGAUGGAUCUCUACGACAAGAGGGAGGACAUGGCGUUGCAAGACGGGGACUACUGCCUUGCGCCCCGGGCUUCGCGGGGCGGAUGCGAGGUGGACUUACAGUGGGCGGAUGGCCUCGUCGAAGGCGCCGGGCGGAAGCGGUGCGCCCUGGAAGACUUCGAGGACGAGGUCCAGGAAAUGGACGAGGUGGAUGGCGGUGGCAAGCGCAGCAAGCCGCCGUCGCCGCAACCGCACACACCAGAUAUUCGUGAAGCCCAUGCCCCCAGCCGCCGCCGCCGCACCGUGGUGGCCGGUGGUGGGGAGCACAGCGGUGGUGGGGGUGACCUCAUAGGAGAAAUCGGCCGGGACCUGUCCAUCAACUGCCUCCUCCGGCUGUCUCGGUCAGAGUAUGGCUCAGUGGCUUCGCUGAAUCAUGAUUUCCGGUCUCUGGUUCGAGGAGGGGAGAUCUACAGGCUGCGACGGCAGAAUAACAUUGCCGAGCAUUGGGUGUACUUCUCCUGUAAUGUUUUGGAGUGGGAUGCCUAUGACCCCUACCGCAAGCGUUGGAUCUCGGUGCCCAAGAUGCCGCCUGAUGAGUGCUUCAUGUGCUCGGAUAAGGAGUCUUUGGCUGUGGGCACCGAGUUACUUGUGUUUGGGAUGGCACACAUUGUCUUCAGAUACAGUGUGCUGACAAACUCUUGGACACGAGGCGAGGUGAUGAAUUCUCCUCGCUGUCUAUUUGGGUCAGCAAGCGUGGGGGAGAAGGCAUACGUUGCUGGUGGCACUGAUUCUUUUGGCAGGAUCCUCAGCUCAGCAGAGCUGUACAACUCCGAGACGCAUACUUGGACACCUCUUCCUAGCAUGAAUAAGGCACGGAAAAAUUGCUCUGGGUUUUUCAUGGAUGGCAAGUUUUAUGUGAUUGGCGGUGUGACAAACAACAACAUGAUCUUGACCUGCGGUGAAGUGUAUGAUACGCAGAGCAAGACUUGGAGUGUGAUUGAGAACAUGUCUGGGGGUUUAAAUGGAGUGAGCGGUGCACCCCCACUUGUUGCAGUGGUCAAGAACCAGCUGUAUGCUGCUGAUUACAGCGAGAAGGAUGUGAAGAAGUAUGACAAGCAGAAUAAUAGAUGGAUCACACUUGGUAAAUUGCCCGAGCGAUCUGUGUCCAUGAAUGGAUGGGGCCUUGCAUUCAGGGCAUGUGGUGAGAGGCUUAUUGUAAUUGGUGGCCCAAGAACACCAGUUGGGGGCAUGAUUGAGCUAACCUCUUGGAUUCCUGAUGACAAGCCACCUGUGUGGAAUUUGAUGGACAGACGGCCAUCAGGAAAUUUUGUGUAUAAUUGCGCUGUGAUGGGCUGCUGAGUUCACUUCAUCAAGAGUCUGCACAGUGAUGUUUACAAAGAGAGGUAUGCACAAAGGCAGGCCUGUUUAGCUUCAGCACUCCUUCAUGAGUUUCUGCCUUUGACCUGUAGCUGAUGUAGUUGGCAUCAGCAGAGCAGCAGCAGGAUCUUGUAACCCUUGAGUUCAUACAUCAGUUUCCGCCCCAGCUAAUCCAUUUCUUUCAUUUACAUUUGGAUCAGUCUUAUGAUCUAGAAGAUGAUACCAUGCAAAAGAUGUCAUACCAAUAAUCUAGAAACAUUAAAUUUCAGAGGCCUUCCAUCAUUGAUGAUGACAGCAAGUUUUCAUAUUCCCUUGUCUAUGUCUGCAACAAAAGUAGUGACCAUCUUGUUAUUAGCAUAUUUCUAAUUUUUGAGUUAUCAUAUAUGUUACACAUUGAUGCCUUCUUUAUGCAUUUAUUUGCCUGAAUGACCUUGGGAUGGGUUCCUGUUAAACUGUUUGAGUGGAGCAUGAUUAAAAAUUGGACUCCUGUUUGGAGUUUGGACCAUUAUCGUUUUCCCUUAAAAUUAGAUCAGAUAAACCUCUGGAAAGUUAUCCUAUGGCACACAUGCAGGUAUUGAAUGCAUUUAUUUGAUUUGAUUCAUUAAAUUAUGGUGGAAUAUUUUACUUUACCUUAUCUGCUAUGAGAUCCUGUGCUUCUCAUGCACUGGAUUGCUGUAUCUGAACUUUGCAUACUUAUGGUUGUUUUGGUGGAAACAACUAAAAAAAUGUGAAUCUGUUGAUGUUUGUUAUGGAUUGAUUUGGUUAUUUGAAAAACAUCAAUCUGUUGAUGUUGCUUAUGGAUGAUUUUGGUUGUUAUUUGUCUUGUAGGUUCAUUAUAAAUGUUUCGUUUUAUAUGGUGAAUAACCUAAGUAUCAUUUUGAUGUCAAGGUUUUGAGUGAUGGUGAUACGAAAAAUGAGAUGUGGGUUCCUUUCUGUAUUAUGAAUAUGAAAUAUAUCCUUGUAAUCACAGCCUUAAUUAUUACUAUUGAUGCCAACUACUCCCUCCAUCCCCCAAAAAACUUGAUGUUCUAGCUCUUAGAAGAUAGAUUGGGCUCUUAUCUGCUUAAGAUUACGGUCUGCAUGCCUCCAUGCAUUCCUUUGAACGAGGGGUUUAUUCCUUAAUUAGCAUGGUUAAUCUUUAUAAAUAGGUGUAGUGGCAAUUUCCAUUGAGCACUAAUCUGUCCUAAAAAACCUAAAAUAUCUAAGUUUUUUGGGACGGAGGGAGUUAUAAUUUUGCAGAAUCAGAUCGUCAUUAUUGAAAGCCUUAACUUCACAUGAUUGUUACACUUUCCUUUUCAAUAGCCACAUAUGCAUGACAUGUUUUUCUGUGUAGUCACUUUUAUUAUGUCUUUGUGGCCUCUUUUAGUGUUAUUCAAGGUGAGGCAUAAUGUUUAUUUGAUAACUGCUCUUUUACACCUUGCAGAAGCUGAUGUUCAUGAACUGAAUACAAACAAAAAUGUUUCAUCACACUUAAACCAGUGAUUAUUGUGACUGCAAGGUUUUUUUUGGACAAGUACCUCGUUGGGACUUGGGACUGUUCAUUGUCUAAUACCUUAGGAAGAAAAAAUUGGCUGAUGAAUUCAAAAUGAAACAUGGAUUACUUGUGGGUGUCAUUUAAAAAAAAAAAUUUAAUGGACUUGUAUGAUUCACUUUUCCUUUGUGAUAUGUGAAUAUAUGAUACCUAAGUUUGGAGGGCGAAUAUGGAGAUAGAAGUGUUACAUGCAUUGUUAACCACUUGGGAAUCAUUCAUUAUUUACUAAUAUGAGCCAAUAAUAAUGGUCUGGUAGCUUUGCGUUGCUAAAAUAUCCAAACUGUUGAAACUUUUUGUAUUCCUCAGUGCCACUAUGCAUAGCUUACCUACAAAGCUACAUCGGUAUUACAUUGUGACUUAUCAGGAUUUAUUAUGUUAACUAUUGACCAAUUGGUUUGAUUAAACCUUUUGUUUUCUAAGAAAAUUGUGUUAAUGUACAUGGCUGAGGCUGUUCCUGAUCAAACAUUUCCUAAGCUUGAUAUAUACUAGUAAAUUUGUAAGCUUAUAGUUUAGGAUAUUAGCAUAGUAUAGAUUGUGUUUAGGGUUAUCCUUUGGGACACCAUUUUAAUGAGUAGAUUGGUUAUUGUAUGACAAGUCUUAUAUUAUAGAAUAGUUAAUUAAUUUUGAACUGGCAACUAGUGUUGUUAGAUGUCAACCUCUUAAAGUAAUGCAGGAUAUAUAACAAGUUUAGUAUCUUGCACAAUUAGGAAAGUAAUGCUUAAGAAAAGAAAAGGGCACUAGAUUAACAUCGCAAUCUGAAUUUCAAAGGAUUUUGAUUCCUUGUUCUUGAUGGAAUUCUGACUGGUUUGAGAUGCCCACCUUUUUGUUUGACAAAACAAACUUGUAUACUUGGAUCUGUUGUUGGAGUCUGACUUGAGUACUGCAAAUAAUUUCCAUGGGUUUCCUGGGCAGCACAUGGUUGUUGAACCUGGUAGAAUCAGGUGCUGUUCCAUCAGUGGUUGUUUGACUAGAGAUUUCCUCUGUUUUUCCAGAAUGAAACAGUGAACUGUUGCAGCUUUUUCGCUUUUGUUACCCGUUUGUCCUGUGGGAUGGAAAUACUUUCUGAUGGAGGAUUGUAUGCCAGUUGUGCUUGUAUGCAUUGUUCUUGCGUGUGGCUUAAGGUUCUCGACUCUUGAGUCUUUGAGGUUAUCCAUUCUCUUUCAACAUAUGUAGUGCCUGCCUGAGCUACUGCUUUUGCUCUUUGCAACAUGUGACAGAUCGCAUUUUAUGGAAUCAUGUCUUUACUAUUUUGAGAUGAAUUUCAAUCUUGUGCAUAGUCGGUUACUGGAACAGCAAAGAAGGUAAAUUCAAGGUGAACUGUUUAAUGGAGCUAUAUGACUAUGAAGUGUCAACUGCAUUCUUCAUCUUGUGUAUCUCAGAUAGUUUGCUUCUGUCAGAUCUUGCUCUUCCAGUUUCUAUUACACUUGAUUCUGGAAUGAAAAUUUUACAUCUCUGCAGCAGCUAAUCAUUUUCUGAACUUCUACAGUUUUACGGGGUAGUGUGAACUGCUUUUUUUCUUUUCUUUUGUGGGAAUCUUAUCAUGGCCCAUAAGCACUCGAUUGUCGCAAAUAUAUGGCAUAUUUUUAUUUCACUAGCGCAGGAAUAUCUUAGUGGAGAGUUUCAUUGAAGAUAGAUUAAAAAGCGGUGUCUGGUGGAAUAUCAGGAUUGAAAUGUGUGUGAAAGGCAACGUUGGAUGGUCUGGUCUGGAAAAGUUGUUUUUGCGCUCUUGUUGCAGUGGCGUGGAGAAGAGACGCACGUAAUGGCUACUGUUUCUGGUUUUUGGUUUCUCAUCGUCAGCGUGACCAUCUUUUUUGACUUAUGUUUUUCUCAGCCAGUUUUUGAACUUCCGCCUUCGUCGGCGCAGCGCCGCAGCCCUAUCCGUACACAGAGAGAAAAACUGAACCUAUACGUAUCACGACGAUGUCAGGUUUGUUUGGCUGCGUAUCAUUCCAUCCCAAUUCAUAAGCCUAUUCGCUUGAGCUUAUCAGCUGAAUCUGUCAUUCAUUCAACAGUGUUUUUCUCUCACAACAAAUCAACAAACCAAUACUUUCUAUCAUAACUUAUCAAUGAACAAUUAGUUAAUUUUCCAUCCUAAUACUUCUCAACCAAUAAUAUAGAUUAAGGUCCAUUGAUACACAGCCCAGCAGUAGUGUAGUUUUGCUUUCAUGUAAGUUUUUUUUCCCCAUUUGCAAUUCUUAAUUUUUCAUGGUCCAGCUCAACGUGUUACUAAGAUGUGAAUUAGACAACUUAAAAAUUAAUGUUCUCUAAAAUCUAUCAAAAUCUAUGCAAGAUGCUAUUUAGAUGUGCAUUAUGGUUUUGCUAAAUAUUGCUAUCUUUACUCUGAAAAGUUAUGCAACCUAGAUUCAGGAAUCCUAUUAUAACUAGUCUAACAAGCUAAAAGCCUAAAAUAGAAAAAGUAAGCACACAACUAAAAAAAUUAGCAAAGUAAUUAAGUGCGGAAAUAUAAAAGUGGUGAAGAAUGCAAACCCUAUUGACAAUCGAUUUAAGUAUCAAAAAGUUUAUACUUCUCCUAGACCUGUUAGAUCCUUUCACAAGUUGCCCUCGCUAGGGUCCCUCAAUGUCUGGGUGACUUCGUAGAUCCCACUCGUCUUCUCCACGUGCAAUUGGGCUCCGUGUGGCCUUGUUUCGAAUUGCUGCUCACGGUUUUCACUAUUGAAUUUCAGCUCAAACGUCACGAGUCUCGUUUCCUCUAGUCUAGAUUCCUUUCCUAUUAACUAACCUAGGAAACUAAACUAGAAAAAAAAUAAUCACACAACCUAGGAUAAAAACAUAAGAGGUAGAGAAUGCAAACUCCCGUUAAUUGUCGAUUUAGAUAUCGAGAAGGUCGAUUUAGAUACUGAGAAGUUCACGCUUUCCUAGUCCUCAUUGAAGCCUCCAAGAUGCUAUUUAGAUGUGCACUAGAGUUUUGCUAAGUAUUGCUAUCUUUAUUGCAAAAAAGUUAUGCAAACUAAAUUCCAACCUAUCAACUAGUCUAACAAGCUAAACUAGAAAAAUGUAAGCACAUAAAUUAGAAAAAUCUAGCAAAGUAAUUAAAUGCGGAAAUGUAAAAGAGGUAGCCCUCGUAAGGGCAAAGCUAACUUUGUAGAGCUCACAGCCUUCUCCACAGGCAAGCAGAUCUCCAUAUGACCUUCUCUCGAGCUGCUACUCGCGGUCUAUACUAUCGAGCUUUCGGCUCAAAGGCUACGGGUCUUGUUCUUUCUGGUACAAGCUAGGCCGCUACACCACAUUCAGGUUGGCAUGAUCUUGUAAGAUACAAAUAACAACACUUGUUGAUGUUUUGGCAUUUUGACCGUAUCUUUUUGUUGUGGACUCUGAUUUUGCUGGCAGGUUUUGCAAUGAUGCCAAAGCGCCUAAUAAUUUUUCUCUAGUAUCCUGCCAAUCCAAGAAACCACCUAACUGGGAGUAGGCCUGAUUAGCUUGAUUUUUGCUUGGGUCUGUAGAAACACCAGAGGCCCAGAGCCAGUAAUGAUGUGUACCAGAUAAGUUAUAGAUUGCUGAGCAAACUUACAAGUGGUAAAUUUUCUCUCCCUUAAGUACGAACUAAUAAUGCCACAUUAGGCCAGAUACAGGCAGGUUGGGCUUUCGGGUCGGCCCGAGCGAACAGGCCUGCUUGAGCUUCUGGAGACGUUUGUGUCAUUGUCCAACGGUGAAUAGUGGUAACACAGAAUCAAGGCACACCAUCGGCUGCCUUGCCGGGACGGACCCGGUGUUGGGGCCUGAUGGGGAUGCACUAUAACGUGUGGUUGUCGUCUGAACCAUCAGUCUUUUGAGCAACAAAGCUAGUUCUAAUGUUGCUCAACCCAGCAUGUCGAGAAACUUCAGCCUCAAUGUCAUGACCUUCAUUCAUUUGCAUGCUUCAGCUCAACAACCAGUCUACAGUGCUUGCAUACAGUAGCGAGCACACAAAUAUGUCUGAUAUACGAGCCUAUUCCUGAACAAUCAACAGUGUAUCGAACCACGCCCAUCAGUGGAUCACAAAGCCACUCAGGGGUCAGGGGUUCGACCAACCCUGAUCUAUGACACAAUCUAUUCGUCACAAAUCAAUGAUUCGGUAGAUGGUAAUGUUCUCCUCAAUUUGACCAGAUUCCUUCAGAUUAUUACAAUUAUAGUUUCAUUUACGGGACAACAAAUGCGAGUAGAAGCCAUUAAGUACAAACUUAGCAGUACGAGCUGCCAUCUGUUAUCGUAUUUAGCUGGCAACCUCAAUUGGUUCAGAUCCCUUGUCAAUGGAAGCUUUCACGGCAUCCAGAACCACCUGCGUCUUCCGGGUGAUAGCCGGCCACUUACGCUCAGGCCUGCCCCCGGAGUCCCGGAUGUUCUGCACAAGCCUUGUGAAUUCCUGGACCAUGAGCGCCUCCUGUGGCAGAUCUGUAGUAACAACAUGCUUCCUUGGCAAUGGAUCCCAUCCGAUGGUGGGUUUGACAAAGUUUGACUUUGAGGCCACACUGAACUCCGCAGAAUUUUCUUCAUACGGAAUGACCAAGUCAGUGACAUGGAGAGUACCGUUUGUGCCAUAUAAGGUGACGUCAAAAGCGAGGUUAGUAAGAAAUGAGCAGUUGAAAUUUGCAGUCUUGCCAUCUGCCCAGUACAAUGUCGCACCACAAGCAAGAAGCACGCCAGCUUGGUUCUUGACAGGAUGACGGUGAGCGAUCACGGUCUCGGGCAUCUCAUAGUCAACAGCCCACAAGAUUGAACGGAUGCAGUACCAUCCAACAUCACCGAGAACACCCAAGGCAUCAAGGUCUGGCUUUACCCUGAUGUCAUUCUUGAGGAAUUCUUCGGAUGCCCGAAAGCUGCACAUACUGUUUAUCUGCAGUGGAGAAAGAAAAGGCAGGGUCUUUAUUAGCCUAUAAAAUUCUGCAAAUACUCCAUAUGAAAUGGAAACAAACAUUGCAUCACUCUUUAGUACAUUAUUAAGGCUACGAAGAACAUGUUAACCUACAGCAUUUCAAAUGCACUUUCCAAAUCACAUACUACAAUACUAGUAUGUGCAGAACCAACAAUGUCUAUGCUUGUUUUUAAUGGUUCUGUGAAAAUUUUCCAUGUGGAAAAAAAAACAAGAAUCACAUUGAUGUUACCAUUUUUCAAGGCUCAAAUUAAGCUGGAAUGAUAUAGCCAAACUGUAUCCAUCAAUUUACACAUUACAAAAUCAGAUCAAGUGAAAUCAUGCAGUUGAAACAUGGUGAAAAAAGUUCAAACUGGUUAAGCUACAACAGAACAAAAUAUCUUCCAGAGUUUCAAUGCUUCAUUAUGAAUGGUGGUGAUUCAUUGUGUUAAGAACAAUGGUGGUUCAUUGUGUUAAAAAAAAGAAUGUUUGUUCAAUGAGAAAACUUUCAACCUCAACAAAGCUUGAAUAUUUCCAUUUCUGUCAAUAUAUCAUAGGCAUCCAAACCCAAGACUGCAGUGACACAGAAGCCCCAAGCACACACCUUCAGACAGUCUUACCUCUGUUCCUACGACUUCUGAUAGAUCUCAGCCAUCAAUAGACAGAAUUAAGGCAAUAUGAUAAUUUUAGUUGAUAAGCAAGCACCAUCAGUCAUCAAGAUGGGGAGAAGAGUCUAGCUUCAUUUUUUCUUCCUCUCGAAAUCCAUUUUUGGUCUUUCAUACUGGUAUAAUAAAUAAAUAAGAAAAAGGAUCAAAUUUUGUUUCUUUUCUAGUACAAGAAAUCUAUUUGUAGACAUUUGUUGCCAUACUGGCGCUAGACAUUAGGCAUUUCCAGAUUCCACCGAACUUUAGCAACUAAUAAGAAGCCAUUCCAAGAUCUCACCACUCUGACGUCACCGAAGGCAUCCUUGUCGCUGACGAUCUCCCGCAUCUUGGCGGUGCGCGGGUUGUGGAUCCACAUGGUGGUGUCCAUGAACUGGAUCCCGGAGGCGUCGCAGGCGGCGAGGAUGGCGUCGAGCUCGGCGGCGCAGAGCGCGGUGGGCUUCUCGAGGAGCAGGUGCUUGUCACGCGCGGCGACGGCUGUGGCCCAGGGCACGUGGAGACUGGUGGGGAGCGGGAGGUACACGGCCUCCACGUCCGGGUCCCCUAGGAGAGACUCGUAGGAGCCGUGGACGCGCGCCGCGGGGAAGCCGAUUUCGGUGACGAAGCGGCGGGCCUUGUCCUCGGAGCGACUGCCUACGGCGGCGACGGUAGCGGCGCCCGCAGGGAGCAUCCGCAUUGCACGCGAGAUCUUGCGCGCGAUGUCAGCGCAGCCCAGGAUGCCGAAGCGCACCGGGCGCGGUGGCGGCGGCUGCACUGGCGCUGCAGAGGACGACAUUGGCGGUCGCUGCGCGGCGGCGUUGGUUGGUCUCGGUUCGGUGUGUGGAGUGAUCGUCUGUGUCUUUCGGGUUCAGGAUAAUCAGGACAGCUUGGGUUCCCUGGCUCAUAGGACACUUGUCUUUCGUCUGUGUCUUUUGGCUAGUUCUUGGACCUGGCUGCGGAGAGAUGCAAAACUCAUCGUCUGGAACGAAAUCGAAAUCCGUUUUCUACUUUUCUGGUCAAUCUAAUCAGGACCUCAAGCAUGCUACCUCUGUUUUGACGAGUGAUCUCAGUUCUUGACUGCAAAGUCAUCCGCGGAUCGUAUUGUUUCUGGAACAAACAUUACUCGGUCAGUCGGUCGGUUCUGGCAUUAGAGUUGCAGCAAACCUGCCUUCCAUCGUCAUCACUGACAUGGCAUGCUGGAAAUGUUGCACAACCUGAACUUGUCCAGGAUGUUCAUGACCGAGAACAUCACAACGGACGCCUUCAAUAUUGGUUUUUUAAUCUCAGAACUUCCCACUGAUUGUCCUCCUUUGGCCGGGCAACCAUCGAUGGAUUAGUUGAUGCUUUAGUCUGCCCAUAUACUAGUAGAAGUCUAGAACAACCAGUAGAAAUAUAAUCCGACUUAUAUAUUUCAACCUCCUUCUGAGUUUGACGACACCUCUUCAAAUAGUUACAAAUAAUGGUUUAUACUGGUUUCAUACGAUACAGAAGUACAGUAUGUGUAAAUAUAUCAAUCAAGCACAAACCAUGCCAUGGUGUAGAAACCUCUAGUCAGGAAGUGACUCGUUUGUUGCAUUUAGCUAGCCACCUCAACUGGCUCAGACCCUUUGUCAAUCGAGGCUUUCACAGCAUCCAAAACCAGCUGCGUCUUCCGGGUGAUAGCCGGCCACUUCCUCUCAGGCUUGCUCCCAGCAUCCCGGAUGCCCUGCACGAGCCUCGCGAAUUCCUGGACCAUAAGGGCUUCCUGUGGCAGGUCUGUCGCCACGACGUGCUUGCUUGGCAGAUCCCACCCGAUGUCGAGCUCAGCAAAGCUUGACUUUGAAGCCACGUGGAACUCCGCCGACUUUUCUUGGUGUGGGAUGACGAAGUCAGUGACAUGGAUAGUUCCAUUCGUGCCAACUAAGGUGAUGUCCAUGGUGACAUUGGUGAGGAAAGAGCAGCUGAAGGUGGCAGUCUUGCCAUCUGCCCAGUGCAAUGUCGCGCCGCACGCAAGAAGCACGCCAGCUCGGUUCUUUACAGGGUCACGCAGUGCGAUCACAAUCUUGGGCAACUCAUAGUCAACAGCCCACAGGAUCGCACGGAUGCAGUACCACCCAACAUCACCAAGUGCACCCAGGGCAUCAAGAUCUGGCUUUACUCUGAUGUCAUUCUCGAGGAAAUCUUCAUUUGCUUGAAAGCUGAACACACUGUUAAUCUGUGGAAAAAGAACAAAAAAACUGAUGAUUUUGUUGACCUACAAAGCUUUGUAGAACAGUAGAGAUAAAGUGGAAUCAAACAGUUACAAAUGUAUUCUUCCACAAAUAUGUAAAAUACCACUAUACGUUAACCUAUAUAUAGCUUUUCAUACAUGUCUUGCAAUUCAGAUUUAACGUGUGCAACUGCUAAGAGGUGUAAUGGCUGCAGCCAACCAUUUCACCGUCUACUUCUAUUUUUCACAAAUUUGUGCAUAUGCAUAAAUGAAAAAUGACAUGGAUGUAACAUCCUAUUAUUUUGUACAUAGCUAGAAUAAAAGAACCAAACUCGAUGGAUUGGAACUGAUAAUUUGGAUGCGCUAAAAUUUUAUAGGAACUAAAUAUGGUGUUUAACUUUCACAAUUUAAAUCUUUCAGAGCACUCUACCGUCAUCUCAGUUUAUAGAUAGAUUGGAAGUGGUCUGCUGAGAAAGAAUUCAAGCUCAACUCAGCUUCAACACUUCCAGCAAUGUUAAUUUUGAAAACCUUAGAACUUUAUAAAACUAAAACACAGCAUUUAUAUAAAUAUAUGUUAAUCUUUGUACGUGUGAUGCAUCAUCUUUGACGAAUUGUAUAUCCUAGAAGGUUGGCACAUAAAAAGGGCGAAUGUCCACUGGAUGACUACAUUGCUCAGUCAGAGAACCUAUAAAACAAAAGCAUUAGGUCCAUUUGCCAGAGAAUAAAGAAGGGUGGUGAACCACCAUGUGGUUAUUGUGCCUGUGCGUCCAUGUAUGUAAAUAAAAUUGUGCAUCCUUGGUUAGAUCUUUACUAGGAAGACAGCUUUUAAAGAUUUUUUGGGAAGUUCUAUAUCCCAAAUAAGAUGGUUAUUCUAACUGCCAUGGCAUCAACAAGAUAUUGUAGUGCUAGUUGGAAGAACUGGUCUGCCAACUUGGUCAAUAGCAGCUUAUGAUUGUAUCCAUACCUUGGAGACAAGAACAAACUAACAAAGUUUAAAUUUAAAUAGGAUAGUAGUUCCACGUUGCUAGAUACAAAAUGACACCAUUCCUUCGCUGUACCCAGCAUGACAAGGAGACAGUGAAAGGUACCUGAGAUAUUUUUCUUAAUAGCUCUAUCACCAAUUUUCUUUGUCCAGCCCAUGCCAAUUAAUCAUGGUUCUGUUGUUGGUUUGUAGCAGAACCCAGGGGGGGGGGGGGUUGGGACUGCUCCACAAACUUUACCAUGGAGCUGUAAAAAAACUGGAGUUUGUGGAGCACCUCUUCACAUUUUUUCCUCGAAUAGAGUGCAUGGAGCUGAAACCAUUUGGCUAAAAAACGUGGAGUGGAGCUGAAAAACGUGGAACGGAGUAUUCCCAAACACCACCUUAGAUACCAUCUCAUCCUAUAAAGCGCACAUGUAAAGUGUUCUUUAUUCUAUAUAAUCUCUCCUGUCAUCUAUGCAAGAGAUAGAUAGAGGCUCACAUAGAGGUGCAUCUUUCAUUCAUUGGAGCAGACAAGAGCCUAGCUCUUCUCCUCACACUAACUCAGAAGGUUUUUUGGCCACUCUCUCUUCCAUGUGGAACCGAAUGCUAGUACAAAUGUGGGAAGAGUACUCUCUCAAUAUUGUGCUGGCCAAUGGGUUCAGCUCAGAAGUUAAGUUAAACACAGCAAUCACGGCACACAUGGCUAUUCCAAAUGCUCCUAGCCUUUUUUAUGCUACACUUGCUCCAAUUAGUAUAAGGCCUUGUUUAGUUCCGAAAAAUUUUGUAAAAUCGACACUGUAGCACUUUCGUUUGUAUUUGACAAAUAUUGUCCAAUCAUGGACUAACUAGGUUCAAAAGAUUCGUUUCGUCGAUUUCGACCAAACUGUGCAAUUAGUUUUUAUUUUCGUCUAUAUUUAAUACUUCAUGCAUGCGUUUAAAGAUUCGAUGUGACGGGAAAUGUGAAAAAUUUUGCAAAAUUUUCUGGGAACUAAACAAGGCCUAAAUAAAGUUUUCGCUUUUGACUGUCAGUAUCUAAAUAAAGUUAUCACAUUUCACGAGCAUACAAAUUAAUGCUGCUGGACCGUUGAGCAUUAACAACUGGGAAAGAAAAAGAAUACUGUCUUUUCCUGUAGAACUUCAGUUAUUGAUAGUAUUCUUACAUACUGAUUCUUUUCCUGUAGAAAAACGAAUUCCAUUUCUUGGUUACGGGUAACAAAGGUUGCGUAUUUCCAAUUCUAAUCCCCAUUCCAGUCUUGCAGGAAGGUUUGCAAAUAACUCACCGUUCUGAUGUCCCCAAUGGUGUCCUUGUCGUCGACGGUCUCCCGCAUCUUGGCCGUGCGCGGGUGGUGCAUCCACAUGGUGCAGUCCAUGAACUGGACCCCCGCGGCGUCGCAGGCGGUGAGGAUGGCGUCGAUGUCGGCGGCGCACAGCGCGGUGGGCUUCUCUAAGAGCACGUGCUUGCCCCUUGCGGCGGCGGCGGUGGCCCAGCGCACGUGGAGGCUGGUGGGGAGCGGGAGGUAGACGGCGUCCACGUCCGGGUCGUCGAGGAGCGCCUCGUAGGAGCCGUGGAGUCGGGUGGCGGCGCCGUCGAGGGUGUUGUCGGCGACGAAGAGGCGGGCCUUCUCCUCGGAGCGGCUCCCGACGGCAGCGAUGGUGGCGGCGCCUGGAGGGAGCAUCGAAAUCGCGCGCGAGAUCUUACGCGCGAUGUCAGCGCAGCCCAGGAUGCCGAAGCGCACGGGGCGCGGCCGCUGGUCUGGCGCCGCGGCGGACGACAUGGGCGGCGGCCAGGUGCUCUUUCGCGUGGGAUUUGGUUGGCGGCUUGGCGCGUCUAGGCUCUCUGCCUCUAUCCGUGCGGUCGUUUGGGUCGUUCGUGGUGUUUACCGUGUGGGGAUAUUUAACUUUUUGUCACUUUUAUGCUUGACACGAGCUCAUUUCCCAGUGGUUGGCACGAGCUCAUUUCCCAGUGUUGUAUGUGAUUCUAAUUUUUUGCCAUCCAAAUGAUCAAAAGUUUUUAUUGUUUAGACAUUUUGGCUUCAGGAGUUUGCCAGCGUGGCGGGAGCACACAAAAAGACCUCGCUGCCCCUCUCCUUAUCCUUUAACCUAUCUGCUCCUUCCUCGUAUCCCCCAGCCGCCCCCAUUCUUCUUCUUCUUCCCCCCGCCAAGCUUACCCUGCAUCGUCUUCACCGUCUCGCUCUCCUUAUCACAGUCCUCCGCGAGCCGCUUCUUUAUCGAAGAUUCGAUCUUCGCCACUUCCUCCAGCUUAAUCGCAAUGGAGCCGACGUAGCCCACUAGCUCGACCCAGGCACUGAGGCGCUGGAGGCGUGGGAGAAGGUGCGCAGGCAGGAGCUCGGCCGUGGCGAGCCAGACGAACUGCUUGACGAAGUAGUAGAUGCCCUCACCGCCGUAGGCGAGUAGCGUGAGCGCGCGGGGGAGGGUGUGGGUGGGCGCGGAGCGCGUUGAGGGACUGCAUGAACUUGCCGAGAUGGAAAGCGCGUGGCGGCCGCGGCUGCAAGCAUGGGAUUGGGGGACUCGGAGGAGGCCAUGGAGGGCGGCGUGCGAUUGUGGGACUCGGAGGAGGCCACGACGACCGCCCCCAUUCUUCUUCUUGUCGAGAAGUUAAGGGAUAAGGGGAGGGGCAGCAAGGUCUUUUUGCGUGCCCACGCCAUGCUGGCAAGCUGAUUGGGCGUGCCCUGAAGCCAAAAUGUCUAGAAACGGGACUCUUGAUCACUUUGGCGGAUACAACGCUAGUAAAUGAGCUCGUGCCAAUCAUAAAAAUGGCAAAAAGUUAAAUAUCCAGGGGCGAUCGGAUAUGCAAUUUGGGGCGUACUCCGGAGCCUUCGCUCGGAGCCAAGCCAACGCUUCCUAGAGAUGUGCUUUGGGUCCUACGGACCUAUACUCCGGAAAUCUUUUUUUUUAACAUAGAAAACCGAAGUUUUCAUUAAACACUUCAGGUUACAAAACCCAUGGGCAGCUAAGUUGUCUGCUACCCUAUUACAUGAUCUGAAGCAGGAAGAGACUAUACAAUGCACAAAGUUAGAAAACAUAAAUUCUCGUAUCUGCUUCAGUCCAUCUCCAUCGAUGUAAGAGCAGUCCCCAAGGUUGCUGCAUCUGUCCCCAAAAUUAUUCUUGACAUGCCGAGUUGUGCCACCCGUUCUAAGCUCAUUUGGACAGCCAAGGUUUCAGCUUGCAAAGCACCAGAAACCCAGCUCAAGUUCCCAGCCCCAGCUUCAAGAAAUUCACCAUUAGAGCCCCUGAUCACAAAACCCCAUCCUCCUUGCAUUGUGGCAGCAUGGAAGGAAGCAUCAACAUUUAGGGCCUGUUGUUUUUUUUAUCAAACACUUAGGCCUUGUUUAGUUCCGAAAAGUGAAAAGUUUUCGGUACUGUAGCACUUUCGUUUGUUUGUGACAAAUAUUAUCUAAUUAUGGACUAACUAGGAUCAAAAUAUUCGUCUCGUGAUUUACAGCUAAACUGUGUAAUUAGUUUUUUUUCGUUUAUAUUUAAUGUUUCAUGCAUGUGCCACAAGAUUCGAUGUGACGGGGAAUUUUGAAAAAUUUUUGGUUUUCAGAGUGAACUAAACAAGGCCUUAUUUCCAAAACAGCUUCAUGGGUGAAGCUGUUUUUCUCCUCCUCUCACAAAGACAUAAGUUGGAUGAAGCUAGAAAAAAGUAGCUUAUUGCAGCUUCUCCCUCAUUUCUCUCUCUCAACUAUGCAUGAAGUAGUUGGUGAAGCUAUUUUGCCAAACACUUUUUCCAAAACAGCUCAGCUUCAUCUAGAAAGUCACUCAUGAAGCUAUUUUCUAAAAAAACAGCUUUACUAGUGAAGUUGAGCUGUGCCAAACAAACUCUUAAUCUGGCAGUGCCUUCCAUCUAGGAACCGACACAACCUUUCCUAGCUUCUCUUGGUUGGACAACUUUUCAAACUCCAUCAGAUAGUAAUUGGUUAUACUGCACAUCUCCAAUGGUCUAGGCAUUUUCUCCCCUCUAUUAGCUUUGUUUCGUGCUGACCACCAUCUCCAUAACAACACCAGCACUUUCAGUUGCAUCUUCCAUGGUAAAUUCCAAAUUUUCAUGAUGGUGUCUUGGCCGGGAAAACAUGAUUCCAGUUCUGAACGAAUAUUGUCCAUGUUUAGAAUCUCCCAACAUUCUCUGACUCCCUUACAUUUGAAAAAUAGAUGCCCACAAUCUUCAUCCAACCUGCUACACACUGGACAUAUAGUAUCUAAUAUUACCCCCUUUCUCUUUAAAUUCCGGCGUACUAGCAAACUGUUAUGAGCAAGGCGCCAUACAAACAUCUUCACUUUGUUUGGUAUUUGGAGCUGCAGAUCUUAUGCCACUUAAGAACAUCAUCAUUAUUUGAGUUACUGGUGAACAUGCAUCAUUCCCCAUCAUUUGGUCUCUAAGCUGAACAGCUAGCUUAUAGGCUGACUUUACUGAAAAUUUGCCCGUGGGGUCAAAAUGCCAAGCCGGCCAAUCCGUUAAACUCUCAUCAGUUGGAACUGUGAGAAUGAUUUCAGCAUCUUCAUGCCAAAAAGUAUCGGUUACCAACUAAGCAUCCCAAUGACCUGUGGUAGGAUCAGUCUCAAUAUAAGAAACCAUCACAGUUUCUAUAGUAUAGGAUACCAUACCAAGAAACUGUCUUUCUCAAUGCAUGAUUUUGUACCAAAGUCUAGUUAAUAAUUUGCCCAAUCAUUCACUGUGUUUCUCUCUCCCAUCUUUGGAUCCUUUGCGCAUUUGGCUUCUUUCUUUUGUUUCCCUCUCGUCCUCUAUUGUCCGCAUCAAGCAGCAGACGAGCUCUAUAUCAUCUCUGCCACACAGGGACAACAAGCUAGCAGCUCCAUCACAUGGAAGGAAGGUCCUCUGCUGCCGGCGUCCAAGCAGCCAACUAGCUCCAUCUCUACAACACAGCGACAGCUAGCAACUCCAUCGCCUGGGAGGAAGGAUUGUUUGGCUGCCCAUCGUCCAAGGUGCAUGGCGGCCCUCCUGUGUGUCCAUGGUCGAUGCGACGUCCAUGGCAACGUGCGACACCAUCGGGAAGGCGGUGCGGCGGCAUUGGGCCACGGACGGAGCUCCACAGCGGUGCCUACGUAGUCAAGGCAACCGGGCAGAACAUGCUUUGCCGGUUGGUAGCAUCAUCGGCAGGUCACAGUUCGUGUGCACGAUAUACUGUUUGCGGCCAUGAGAUCUAGCGUCAACGCCAUGGGAGUGGAGGAGAGGCAUGCAUGUGAGAAUGCGUGGAAUGCUCAGGGAAUAGCUCCCUUGCGGUGGCGUGUACAAUAGAGUUUGUUACAACAAGAUGGACACAUCUCCUAUCUACAAGGCAUGCCUACAUGUAGCCUUGGUGUACACAACAAGAAAGCAACAAACUAUAUCUGAUAUGUGGUCUACCAGUAACUAACAACGUACACGAAUAUCUCAUCCUUUUAACACUCCCCCUCAAUUUUAGCCACAUGAAAGAUUGAGAUGUGACUAAAAUUGUUUUAAUUUGGCAACUCUGAGAGGUUUUGUAAAACCAUCAGCAACUUGAUCGCCGGUGUGGAUAUAGCGUAUGUCAAGAAGCUUCUGAGCCACUCGCUCACGGACAAAAUGAAAAUUAAUUUCAAUAUAUUUGGGGCGAGCAUGAAACACCGGAUUUUGCUGAUAAAUAUGUUGCACCUAGAUUAUCACACCAUAGCCGAGCAACAGGAGAAUGCGGUACCCGAAGUUCAGUAAGAAGUUUCUGAACCCACAUUAAUUUAGCGAUAGCAUUAGCAAGAGCCUUGUAUUCUGCCUCUGUGCUGGAACAGGAGACAGUCGGCUGUUUCUUGGCGCACCAAGAGAUUAGAUUCUUGCCAAAGAAGACAGCAAAACCACUAGUUGAUCGACGAUCAUCGACACACCUUGCCCAGUCAGCAUCUGAGAACGCACUGACAAGACGAGAAUUAGACUUUCUCAAUGUCAUGCCAUAGUUCCAUGAUCCACGCACAAACCUCAGGAUCCUUUUAACGGCGCUCAGAUGGGAGGUAGUAGGAGCAUGCAGAAAUUGACAGACCUUGUUGACAUCAUAGCUAAUGUCAGGGCGCGUCAGAGUGAGGUAUUGCAAGGCACCGACUAAACUUCUGUAUCUGGUCGCAUUGUCAGGCACAAGUCUAUCACCCCCCUCAAUAGGGGUGAAAGUGGUGUGGAUAAUUCUCCGAACCGAUCCGAUCCAAAUCCGAAUUUUGAGAAUAUGGAGAAGAACUUUUAACAUCCAUGCGGAUACGGAUACUCCGAAUCCGAUUAUCUGCGGAUACGGGGUAGGAUAUGGAAUAGGUAAAAUCCGGCGGAUAUGGAUUAUCCGCAAAUUUUAUACGGAUUAUCCGAUGUUUAAAAUAGGAUAUCCGAAGGUUUCUCUUCCAAGACUAAAGAAUUUAGAAUUUUAAAAAGUUUGUUAGUUGAGGACUUUUAUUUUAUGAUGUUGUUGUUUAAUGUUCUAAUUUUUAAAUUAAGAAAUUUGCUGGAUACUAUUAUUUAUUGGCUAAUAACUUAUUAUUUUUUGGUGAAGAUAUCAUGUUAAGUGUUAAUUAUUAGUGUGAGAGCAGCAACAUCAAAUGCAAUGCAAGAUUAUUAUCUAUUGCCUAUUCUUGUUCUGUACUAAAUAAAUUCUUCACAAGCAUAUAAUUCUCUAUGUAUGCAUAUGUUAUUCGACUAUUAAAAUCCGUCUCCGAUCCGUUUCCGCUCCAUAUCCGUACCAGUUCCGACUACCGAAAAAAACCGUAUCCACAUCCACAUCCGUGCAUUAUCCGCUCCGUACCGAAUCCGACAAAGAAAAGCGGAUUAGGAUAUGGGAAAGACAUUAUCCGCUCCGAUCCGAUCCGUUUUCAUCCCUACCCCUCAAUACUGAGUUUAGUAGUUGUUGGCAGCGGAGUAGACACCGGUCUGCAAUCCUUCAUGCCAGCACGUGCAAGAAUAUCCACGGCAUAGCGCCCUUGAGACAGAAUCAAAGCAUCGGGAGUACGCCGGACCUCAAUGCCCAAGAAAAAAUUUAGAUCCCCCAGAUCCUUGAGUGCAAACUCUCCCUUCAGAUCAGCGAAAAGAGCAUCUGCUGCAGCUUGAGAGGAACUAGCUACGAUAAUAUCAUCCACAUAAACCAGGACAUAAACCGAGUGUGCACCCUUGUUAUAAAAGAAAAGUGAAGUAUCAGACUUGGAGGGAUGAAAACCAAGAGCAACCAGUUUGGUACAUAGACGAGCAUACCAAGCUCAAGGCGCCUGCUUCAAACCAUAUAGGGCUUUAUCCAACUUGCACACAUACUGUGGAUGUUUCUGACUCUCAUAUCCUGGUGGUUGUUGCAUAUAAACCUCCUCUUCCAAUACGCCAUGAAGAAUGGCAUUUUGCACAUCCAACUGUCUCAAAGACCAUCCUUGUGAAACCGCAAGAGAUAAAACCAGUCUGAUAGUAGCGGCCUUAACCACAGGGCUAAAAGUAUCUUCAUAAUCAAUCCUGUAUCUCUGUUUGAACCCCUUUGCUACAAGACGUGCCUUGUAACGAUCAAUGGAACCAUCAGCUUUCCGCUUGAUUUUAUAUACCCAUUUACAACCGAUGAUAUUCUUCCCUUUGGGCCGGGGAACAAGAUGCCAAGUCUUGUUAUGUUGCAAAGCAUUAUACUCAACAUCCAUAGCUCCUUUCCAAUUAGGAUUCCCAAAAGCUUCACCGACGGAAGGAUUCUCAUCUGCAUUGACAGUGGAGGACAUGCACCACCGAACAGUGCCAUCAGUGAACUGUUUUGGCUUCACAAUCCCCUACUGAAGCCGAGUAGUCGGUCGAUGUGGAGCAGUAGGCGGAGAAGGGACCACCGAAUCAGUAGAUGCACCUGAUCCUGGGGGCGACACAUCCGAUCUUAUGUCAGCUGCAGCGGUCCCCGCACCGCUGGGAUCAGUCUGUGGAGCGUCCACGCUGCUUGACGAUGAGGAGGGCACUGAGUCAGGCACAGACAAUUCGGCACCGGGCUCUGCGUCAGGCAUGGGAUCGGUACGAGGAGGGGGAUUCGCUGGCGAUCCCGACGCUGAUUCUCUGGCGCCAAUGAUAGGAGGAUCUCCCUCGGCAGCAGUGCUGCCCCCUAGCCCGGCACAUGGAAUGACGCUGGUCCGCAGCAUUUUCUUCAUUGCUUGAAGUGUCGUCUGAUCCUGCAACACCAUGACUUGGACUGGAGCUCGAGUAUGAGUUAGUAGGCAUAGAAAAAUCAUCAGUUCGAUCAUGUAAAAUUACAUCCCCAAAACUAGAUGUCAGAUUUAAAAGAACAUCAGGUAGAAGUGAUAGUUCAGAUCUUAAACGGGCACCAACAUUAGGAUGAAGGGAAGCAAAAGGAAAAACAUUCUCGUCAAAAAUCACAUCACCAGACAGAUAGACACGACCUUCUGUGGGAUCAAGGCACUUGAAGCCCUUAUGCAGAUUGCUAUAGCCUAAGAAGACACAUCUUUUGGACCUGAACUCAUGUUUUCUUGAGUUAUAUGGCCUAAGGUUCGGGCAACAGGCACUGCCAAAGGUCCGUAAGAAAGAGUAAUCAGGUUGGACUUUAUGUAGGCGAUAGAAGGGGGUGUCAUUAUUAAUGACUCGUGAAGACAGUCUAUUUAUGAUAAACACUGCGGUCAGAAAAGCUUCAUCCCAAUAUUUAAGAGGUACUGAUGCAUGUGCCAACAAGGAGAGCCCCACUUCGACAAUAUGGCGGUGCUUCCUUUCAGCAGAUCCGUUCCGCUGAUGCGUGUGAGGGCAGGAGACACGGUGUGUGAUACCCAUGCACUUGAAAAAGGAAUGCAGGGAUUGAUACUCUCCUCCCUAAUCUGUUUGGAUGGAAGGAAUUUUACGAUUCAAUUGUCAUUCAACUAGAGUUUGGAAAUCACGAAAACAUUGGAACACUUGUGAUUUGAAACGCAGCAAAUAAAUCUAGGUAUAUUUGCUAUAAUCGUCGAUGAAACUGACAUAAUAGCAAUUACGGCCAACCGAAUUUGGGGCAGGCCUCCAUACAUCAGAGUGAAUAAGGUCGAGAGGACCAGAAGAGUUGCGAGUUGAUCUAGUAUAAGGAAAUUGGUGGCUCUUGCCUAACUGACAUGUAUCACAUACAUUAUCUGAAUUCCUAACAAAGGGAAGACUGUGGCGACUAAUGACAUGCUGAACUACUUGUGAAGACGCAUGACCUAGUCAUGAGUGCCACAGGGAGACCGACGGCUUCAUGACACCGUGGGCAUGUUUAUUUGCUUGACUCGUGGACCGCUUCAAGGGAUAAAGGCCGCCUUCACAUCGGCCUGUGAGGAGUGUUCUCCUCGUCUCCAGUUCCUUACAAAAAAGUGAUUUGGACGAAAUUCGAAAAAGGCAUUGUUAUCUCGAACAAUCCGGUUAACAGAUAACAAAUUCAUACUAGCAUUUGGAACAUGAAGAAUAUUUUUCAAGUCAAUGUUUCUAGUUGGGGAAUGUAAAACACUGUGACCGAUGUGAUGAAUUUUCAUACCAGAUCCGUUUACAGCAUGGACCUGUUCACCUCCAUGGUAGCGAUCACGAGUGGUAAGCCUAUCAAGCUCACCCGUGAUAUGAUCGGUGGCGCCUGAAUCAAGAUACCAAUUGGUAUCUACUCCAUAGGAUGAGCUAGUUGCAGAGGACGCCGACUUCUGUGUUGGAGGUAUGAAGGAGGCAUCAAAACGCUUGAAGCAGUUGAUGACGACAUGACCUUCCUUCUUGCAAAGCUGACAGAAAACGACAGUUUGAAACGGAGCUCCCUGAGGGUGGCUGCCACCACGGCCGCCCUUGCCUCCAUCGCCGAAACCACCACGGCCUCCACCGCCGCGGCUGUUGACGGUCCUUAAGUAUCAAAUUUAAUCAUCAAAUAAAUAAAGAAAAGGCCCAGACUUAGGGUUUUAUCUGACAGGAUUCCACGAGUUUUGGUGUUUGUCUAUUUCUGCAGGGGGUUAUCAGGAAAUAUGGAGGAAAGGCCCACACGUUGGGUUUACAUAGAGAUAUUAACGUGUGCGCCAAUUUUCUAUCAUCUAGAAGAGUCUAGAAGCCACGGGAACGAACGGGAGGCCGAGCGGGCCCGGGGGCAGGGCGCCCGCCCUGCUACAGGAGCCAAUCAGGCUCCGCCUCGCGGAUUAUGCUCCACCGACCUAAAGGAUUAAGGAAAACCAUACGAUUAAGGUCGGUUUGAUCCGACGGCCCACAUUCAUUUGGAGGGGUUAUAUAAGUAGGACCCCUAGCCCCUGGAGGAGGCACCUCUAGAUCCCUAUUCAUUAUUCAUAGACAGAGCAAAAGCUAGGGUUUGGAGAUGAGAGCUCUCCUCUCUUCUCUAAACUAGAGUAGAUCUAGAUAGUAGCGAGAUGGAGAGUUAGGGAGGAUUGGAGGAGAGGCCGACCUGUCGGUUCUUCCUCCGGUUGUACUUCGCCAUGAUCAAGCUCUAAUCAAGCUUGCUCAUGGGAUGACUCUGGUAAUCUACUUCUAUUCCAUUAUGCAAUUACUAUCCAUGUAUGUUCUGGUUCACAACUCUUUUGAGUACUUUUAAUCUAUAGGACCUAUAGGUUAGAGUUGUAGUAUAGAUGUAAGUGUGGUGCUUAGACAUAGGUUACUUGUGGAUAUUCCCUAUCUAGCUAGAUCGUGUGGUAGGCCGCGUAGGCGACAGCUAUGUUGGUCCUCUGUAGUCCACCUCCUGUUAGCAGGACUGGUAGGGUUUAUCGGCCAAUGGAUAAGCAUCCUUUGUGGUGUAAUCUUAUCACAUGGUUCGUCCCAGACAUAGACAUACUCCUUUGAAGUAGAGAAACCAUAGUUAUCCUCUCUAUUCUCCUACCAUCGCCCAUAUAUUAGAUUGCUCUACUCUCUAUUCCCCUAUUAUCACCCAUUGUUAUCUUACCUACCAUCUUUCCUAUUUACACCUAUCUAUCUAUCUAGGUUAAGUUAGAGCAUAGAUCAGUUCUCCCGUUUCCCUGUGGAUACGAUAAAACCUUUAACCGGGUAAAAGCUACAACGGUAUCCGUGCGCUUGCGGAUUUAUCUAUGUGCGUAUAAAUACCAUAGUACAUGUUGAUAUUUGGUAACGCCAUCAGGAAAUGAUCUGCAAGCGCACGAAUAUUGGUGAGCACUUCACCCAGGAGGUUAUCUAGAGUAUCGUAUUUAUAUUUUUUCCACUGGGAGAAAGCAUGCAUCUGACUAACCAAAUCUAUUGCUACUACCCUUUAGGCUACAAAGAAUGUUUCUCGAUGUGAGUGAUAUAUAGAGAAGACUACAACCGUAAUCUCAUUCUAACCUUGGUAAGGAUGAUCUACUGUUCUAUUGGGGAGGCUCAUGGAAUCUAGACACCACAAAGGAUGUUCGACCCGCACCUAUAAACCCUAUCGAUCCUGCUAACGGGAUAUGGGCUACAAAGGUAACUCGGAAAUGUCACGUUCCUCGCUACUACCAAUGUCCAGCUAGUCAGGGGAUAUCUAUGAGUAUCCUAGCCCAAACACCACGUCUACGCUAGAGAUGAUUACUCUAAACUCUACGCGAAGAGAUUAAAGUAAACUCAUAAACCAAAGAACAAUAAAACAAGAACAUACUAGUAUUUAGAAGUCGAAAUACUGAAGAAUCCUAGGAGCAAGCUUCGGGUUAGGAGAACUUGAUCUCGUAGGUACAACCUCGGAGUAGACACCGACAGGCCGGGCUUCCUCUGAUCUACACCUCCACUCUAUCUCUCUCAAUCUAGUAGAUCUAGUCUACUCACAUUAGAUGCUAAGCCCUAAGUCUAUUUAGAGGAGAGGUUAUCCUUUGAGGGCUCCUCUCAACUCUAUGAUGAACUUGUUCUCCUCCAGAAGCCAAGGGGUCUGCUUGUAUAGUUCCCUCAAGUGAAUCUAGGCCGUCGGAUCAAACCGACAUUGAUUGAAUGGUUAUCCUUGAUCCUUUAGGUCGGUGGAGCGUCAUCCGCGAGACGGAUCCUGAUUGGACUCUGCACCAGGGCGGGCGCCCUAGCCCCGGGCCCGAUCACCUUCCUGUUCGUUCCCGUGGCUUCUGGAGUCUUCUAGAUGAUAGAAAAUUGCGCGGCACGUUAAUAUCUCUAUGUAAACCCGAUGUGUGGGCCUUUGUUCCAUAUUUCCUGAUAACCCCUUGCAGAAAUAGACAAACACCAAAACUCGUGGAAUCUUGUCAGAUAAAACCCCUAAGUCUGGGUGUUGGUUGCAUUUGGAUCCUUUUCUUUAUUUAUUUGAUGAUUAUAUUUGGUACUUAAGGACCGUCAACAACUCCCCCAAGCUUACCUCUUGCUCGUCCCUGAGCAAGGAUGGACUCAGGAGUUUUUGCAGUGGUUUCAUGCCUUAAAAGUACACAUGCAUUCAAGCAAGAUCUCAUCUCUGAGUUAGAGUAAACUGUUAAGACUUUAAACUUACUCAUUUUACCUUUCACCAUGGGGCUUGCAACUGUCACUUGUGUCUUGAGUAGUUAAAAGAUAGAACAGUCUAGUCAAGCGCCAUGUCUCUUGUUCUUUGAUUAACUAUAGCUCUAGAGUUUUUGCAGAUUUUCAAAUAAAACUCAGAGAUUCCUUGUAUGACUCUAACAAAUCUCUCUUUUGUGGUAUUUCUGGAUCCUUUCCAAGGCAGUAAUGGUAUAUGACUUCUCUCAAAGUAUGUGGUAUUUUUGGUAUGAGACAUAGUGAUAUUGCCUUCUCUCUCACCCUACUCUAAUAAGGUUUUGAUAUCUGGAGCUCAUAGGUGGGAGACAGAUAAUACAUACUUACAAGACAUUUAUUGCAUAGUCAAACCAUGGAUCCAGAAGAACAAGUCAAUAAGUGAAAUCAAGGUGUGCAUGUGUGGCGAGUGAAUGGUGUAUGGUUAUGAUGGUGAUAAUGGUAAAAACAAUGGUGAAAGUCUAAUUCUACUUUUCUCUUUUAAGGGGAUACAUACCUUUCUUGCACUUUGAAGCUUUUUGAGGAGAAUGAGAUGUUCUAUAUUUUCUUUUUCUUUUCUCUCAGGUGGGUAUCUUGUACCCCUAAUUCUACUAUCGGACACUUGUUCAUUUUUACCUCUCGUCUCACUUUUUCUUUUCUUCGAGGUUCCGGGCACUUGCCCCUUUUUAUUUCUUCGUAUUCACUUUUUCUUUUUUCUCUUCUUGUUUUAGAGCACUCAUCUCCUGAAAUAAUAUAGCAAGUGGUAGUAACCAAGAUAACUCGAGCAUUUAUUUCAUAGGGAAAAACAGAAAUAGGAGAAUGUUUUUGGCUAUUCUCUCCCGGAUUAGGAGUAGAAUAAUUUUAGGUGAAUAUGGAGAUGGAAUUGAGUGGAUGUAUGUGGAUGCGUACUUCCGGAGUAGAAGUAGCAUGUAUGAGUGAACAUGCAAGUGAAUCUUGAUUUUAACCGCAUGACAAGCUCCUAAGGGUCUACACAGCUUGACCACACUCAAUGCUCAUAAGCAGUAAAAAGUAAUUGUAUGGUUCAUAGUCUAAUAAGCAUGUAUAUAUGGCUGUGGUAGGAUUUUAAACUCUCAUCAUAUAGGAACUCAUCAUGUGUUAUUUUAAAGAUUUUCAAAGAUAAAAUUCUCCAUAAUUCUAGCAUCUCUAGGAAUAGAUAAACAGCAGCUCAACCUUCCCAUAUCAUAUCCAUUAACGACUUAGACUUUAGAUCAAGUACUCUUCCCACAAGUUCAGGUUUAGAGCAGGUUUAAAUUAUAACAGUUAUGCCUAAACUUGAGAGAGAGCUCAAACUUGAAAACUAGGUACAUGGCAGAGCAAAUAUUUAUCAUUUCCAUGUGAGAGCUUAUCAUGAGGGUUCAUAGCAAACUUUAUUUAUUUAUUUAUUUAUUUAUUUAGCAAACUAAGCAAACAACACAAAAUCUUUAUUUGGGUUUUUAUGAUUAUGCAUCUUUUUAUUAUUUGAGUAAAGUAUAAAUGUGAGUAGAACACUUAGCUAGAUAAAUGGGGGUGCUCUCCCCCAAGCUGGAUUUUGACGUAAUUUCUUCUAAUGUAGCUAGCAGGUGGCGGAGGUGUAUUUGAAUGUCGGCAGCACCCUGACAGCGAUUAGGAUGUCCUCCGUCUGCUAGUCUUCUUUGAUCCUUGAAUUCUGUGGAGCUCAAAUAGACAACAAGGCUUUGUGGAACUGGUUAAGUGUUAGCAUAAAAUCUCUUAGCCUUUAUCAUAUUGAGAUUUCUCCUAAUAAAUGUUACUCUCUUUAGUAGGAUCAUAAAUUUAUUUUUAUAUUUUUAUUUUUAUAGGACAGGAAUAUAUUUAUUUUAUUUUUACACCACCACAGUGAAUGUACUUAUGGGUUUUAUGCCAUGAGCAUACUCACAUGGGGCUUACUAUUUUUAACAUUUUUAUUUUCUUUUCAAGAUGAUAUGAACCUGAUUAACUAAGCAAACUAUUUUAAAUAAUUGAAGGGAAAAGGAUAACUACCAAGUUUACCUCUUGGCAAGGAGUUCGGUGCGGGACUCUCCGUUUUCUCCGUUGUCCUGGGAUUCGCUGGAUGGCGUAGUCGGUGGUUCCGGCGGCGCCUCCUCUUCGUGUAUGACUAUCUUCUCUCUCAACACCUGACUCGGUGCUACGGUCUCCUCAGGACAGUUCUGUUCAAAUUGUAUGUCUUUAGACCUUACCACUUCUCCUUCAUAGUCUGCCCAUCCGUCCUUGAUGAUUUGCCUCCUCUGGUUGCGGUUGCGUCGUCUUCUUCUUGUCCUGACCUGCUUGGAGUCUUCAACUAUAUAGUUAAGGUCAGUAAAAUAGCGGCGUACCUUCUCAGAGGGGAAGUGCAUGUGGACUUCUCCGGUUCCAAUGUAGAUGAUUGUUUUAAUCGUGCCGAGGAACGGUCUCCCAAGGAUGAUGGGUGGAUCAUACUUGUCUUCUCCCAUAUCAAUAACCUGGGUCGUCCUUUUUUGGUCAGGAAUGGUGACUUAAGUCGACGAUCUUGUCCUCCUUGAGCUACAGUGACCAUCUUAGCUGACUCGGUCCACAUUUGCUUAUUUCUGUUCCUCCUGUUGGUCCUCUUCCUUGGUUCAUGUCGGGAUUGCUCUGAAAUUUGUGUAGUCUUAUUCUUGAAGGAAAGUCUCCUUCUUCCUCUUGAUGUAGAAGCUGAUCUUGGCAGCACUAGCGUAGAUGACAACUCUCGAGGUGUUCAGGAAUGGUCUCCCUAGGAUGAUGGGUGCCCUCUCAUCAGUACCAGUCUCUAUCACCAUGAAGUCUGCUAGAGCAUACAAGGUACCAACUCGGACGCAGAGGUUCUUCAAUACUUCCUUUGGGAAACUUAGUGUACGAUCUGCAAGCUGAGUAGUUAGGCCUCUGUUGAUUCCAACUUUGAUUUUGUUGAGGACAAUUGUAGUAGUAGUUGUUGUUGUUGAUGUAAUUUACGUCCUCAAGCAUCUUAGGGCAGUGAUUGCCUGAGUGUCCAGUUUCUCUAGUGUGUUUGUGCUCGUAGAUCCAGGUUCUUCACUUGGUGGAGUGUGGGAGUUGUAAAACUCCUUCAUAUUUUGCUCGAAGUGUACCUGCUCAUAGAGACAAGGUAGAGAUCAAGUGUAUGGGCCCUGUUGGCGGAAAACACCAAUAGAACCAAAAGUGUAUUUGUUCUUCUCUAACCUCAAGCAUAGUGAGCAAGACAAAGUUGAUGGAUAAUAAGAUCAUGAGUGUAGCAUUUAAAACAUUUGUCAGAUCAGAUCGCUCGACCUAAUGGAAAGAUAAUCUAUCUAUAUUUAUGUUUUGUUUAUAUUUUCCAAAGAUUGAUUGUGCAACAUUUGAGCUUAUAUGAUUAGGAGUGUGGGAUCAGAAAGGUAGUACUAAGAACAAAGAUUAAAGGACUAAAUAUGUUGAAUUAAUUGGGUUGGUUAAUUUGGAGUUAUAAAUCAUACAUGUUUGUCUCUUUUAUUCAUGUGAACGCCAGAACCAAGGAGAAGCUUAUAAAAGUGAUAGUCAAGUACCUUAAGAUGUUACCUUACUUGAAGAGUGAUGGUACAGUAUCACCUUGUGGUAGCUUUCCUUUCUUAGCGGUUGUGCAUCGUGUUUGUGGC
Molecule: long non-coding RNA, 85718 nt
Filed under: Sorghum bicolor (sorghum)
Lineage: Eukaryota; Viridiplantae; Streptophyta; Magnoliopsida; Poales; Poaceae
Description: long non-coding RNA (SBIC_LNC000696)
Rfam family: Plant small nucleolar RNA R71 (bases 17994-18100)
Source: RNAcentral